CUCCUCCUCCUUUACAAAGUAUGGGCUUUAGUGUGAGGCCCAAAUACAAGGCCCAAGGCCCAAAUAUACGAGGCCCUAAAUAUGGUAUAAACAGUAGUCCCCCAAGUCUUCAGUCAAGAGAGUCUUUUGGCUGGAGACUUGAAAUUCAGUCCAUGUGUGGGCCGAAGUAACUGAUGCUCGAUAUGAGGCGGUGCCCAAUCUGAAAUGAUGCUCAACUAGAAGUAGCACAUGCUGUGAGGCUGCUCGGCUCGUGGCUUAUGUUGCCUUGGUUAGCUCGACUUGCGGCGUUUAAAGGUGAGGGAGUCCCUUUUAUAGAAUAAGGGCUCGCUCCUCAAUACAUGAAUGAUGGGCUAGAGUUGAUGCUCUCUAAUGAUGGUGAGGGAGUCCCUUUUAUAGAAUAAGGGUUCACUCCUCAGUACAUGAAUAAUGGGUGCUCUCUAAUGAAAGUGAGGGAUUCCUUUUUAUAGAAUAAGGGCUCACUCCUCAAUACAUAAGUGAUGGGCUAGAGUCCCCCAAAUAUUUUUCAUGAGGCCCAGUUGAGGCCCAAUAUAUGGUACAUAAUGUAGUCCCCCAAGUCUUCGGUCAAUAGAGUCUGUUGGCUGGAGACUUCAAAUUGAAUCCAUGUAUGGGCCGAAGUGGCGGUUGUUCGGAGGCGGUCUUUGUAGACCAUGCACUGAAGCUUUGUAAGUGAAGCUUUGCAAGUGAAGCUUUGCAAGUGAAGCUUUGAAGCUAUAGCUCUGUAAAUGAAGUCUUUGAAGCUAGAGCUCUGUAAAUGAAGCUUUUGAAGCUAGAGCUUCUUGUAAAUGAAGCUUUUGAAGCUAGAGCUCUUGUAAAUGAAGUCUUUGAAGCUAGAGCUCUGUAAAUGAAGUCUUUGAAGCUGAUUGACAUGAGUGAUGCUCAUGAAUGUUUAUGUUGAUUGACAUGAGUGAUGCUCAUGGAUGUUGUCAUGAGUGAUGCUCAUGAAUGUUGACAUGAAUGAUGGUCAUGAAUGUUUAUGUAUGAUUAUCAUGAGUGAUGCUCAUGAAUGUCUAUGUAUGAAUGACAUGAGUAAUGCUCAUGUAUAAUUUGGAGUACUUGGCGUACUUUUGAUCGCCUGGUUGGAGCUAUUUUGGGCUUAUGGGUUUUCGCCCUCUACACAACAUUCCAGCCCAUUUACUUUGGGCUUUGCCCCUUUUUUUUUUCUUUUUUACCCUCUGAUGGGGUUUAUACAGAUGUCAUUUCUCACUUGUUAUGACUGAUACAAGAUUAAUCCCUUUCCCACUUGCAAAUUUGAAUGCUGCUUCCUCCGUGAGAAUCUUCAAAAGUGCAUAAACCCAUCCACUUGCUUUUCUUGUUUUUGUUUCUUUUUUUUUUCUUUUCACUUUUGCUUUGCACUGUGUCUGUCUUUUACUUUCUUCUUUUUCGACAAGAUGAUGGACGGAAAUGAAGCUUUUGAAGGAUGACCCCUGCUUCGAGUGGUGUCCCCGUGCUUUUGCAUGUUUAUUCCUUGCUUUUCUUUCUUCUUUUCUCUUUUCCUUUUUUCUUUUGCUUUCUCAGAAAAUGAAGAUGCAUGAGAUGGGUCAUUGAUCUCAUCCAGCAGGUUGUCUGCAGCAUACAGAGCAUUUUUUAUUUGAAAAACCUGUCGCUGUGGAUGUCAUUCUUUUGAGAAAGCAAGCACUCGAGAAUGCAUUCCUUGCAAAAGACGUGGCCUUUCUGGCAGCGCAUGGGGUCGAUGAAGGGUUUGAGGCAGAGGCAGCAGGCGUCGAAGGGCUUGAUGGAGUCUCUGUCGAGCCAUUCCCUCUGGGUUCCAUAGCUGAGCUUCUUCUUCUCGUCGUAGGUGAAGAAAGCGAGGUCGUUGUUGUUCUUCGAGUGCUUCUGCGACAUCUUUUCGAAUUGAAUUAAAAUCUACUCUUCUGAUCGUGGAUUUUAAUUUUUCGAAUUUUUGAUUAGGGAGAAGUCAUCCGUAGCUGCUUUUGCUCUGAGCUGGAGAAAUGCUCUACUACUGAGUCAACCCGCUCACCGAGUCAUCCUUCACUGUUUCCUCAGACAGCAAUUCACUGUCGACAGAAAAAUUCACUCGACAACGGGUCCGCCGAAUCACGACAGAUCUUAUUGAAUUGGGCCACUGAUCUGCUCGCUGAGUUCAGCUAUUGCUUGUGGUUAAUUAGAAUUUGAACUCGUGAUUUCAGUGAAAUGGAUCGGCAGGCGAUGACGGUUGGGCUGGCCAUGGAUACAUCGAUCAUGCACGAUAGCGACCGGUAUGAUUUCGUCCGAGAUAUUGGGUCUGGAAACUUUCAAGGUCACCAGGCUGAUGCGGACAGGCAGACUAGGGAACUCGUCGCCGUCAAGUACGUGGCAAUAAAAUUGAUGAAAAUGUUCGAAGAGAGAUAAUAAAUCAUAGGUCUUUGAGGCACCUGAACAUCAUCAGAUUCAAGGAGGUUAUUCUUACUCCUACCCAUCUGACCAUUGUGAUGGAAUAUGCUUCUGAAGGAGAUGGCAGACGGCGGCGCUGGUAUGCGCGUCUGUGCAUGAGGAGAGGGUUUGGGCGAUGCAUCCUCGUCGCCGAAGUCUGCCAUGGGAAUGAGAAGCUCGCGAUCUCACGGUUCUCUGUCUCUGCUCGCCAUUACAAUCGAUGAUGACGACUUCUCAUCGCCCAUCACCAGCAGACCCCUAAUUGAUAUACGACGCCGUUCCAACGCCGCAACGCGGGGCCUUUUUUUUUGUCGAAUAAUUUUGGCACCGACGAGUAGAGAUCGGAGCUCAGCUUCCUCUCUUCGGAUGACUUGGGUGCCUCCUGCAAGCCCGAGCCAGCCGAAGAACAUCGGGUCCUGAAGGGGCUGGUGCUACUGAUGGGUGCACCCUUGUCGGGUUUGGGAUCGGGAAGAGGAAGACGACAGCGGAUCUUAUGCGGUGGACGAGAGAGGGAGUGGGAGUGAGUGAGAUCAUAAUCUGGAAUUUGGAUCUGGAAUCGUUUGUUUCUCUUUGUUUUGGGUUUUUGUGAUUUUGCAGAUUCACGGUGGAGGUGAAAAAUGAAAAAGAACCGACACAACUUUUCGUAUCGAUUCCCACAGACGGCGCCAAAUGUUGAUGCACAAAACCGGAUGUCUUGGAACAACGUAAAUCCGACCGUGAAUCUGCAAGUAAUGUAAAUGACACAAGAGUUAUCGUGGUUCACCCCAAGGUUUGGGCUACGUCCACACUGAAUAUGUAUUUAUCUGAGAGUAUUUGUGAGAGAAGGAACUCUGUGAGUGAAGAGCUUUGAGAGGGGAUGAGAAGGCUCCAGAAAUUGGCCUCCGAGAGUGAGAGUGAGCUCCCCUUAGAAUGAGGGUAGGAGUCCCCUUUUAUAGAAUAAGGGGCUCCUCCUCCUUUACAAAGUAUGGGCUUUAGUGUGAGGCCCAAAUACAAGGCCCAAGGCCCAAAUAUACGAGGCCCUAAAUAUGGUAUAAACAAAACUCACUCCCACUGAUGGAGCUUUGUUAGAUGAUCCCACCAAGUACAGAAGACUAGUCGGACGAUUGAUUUAUCUUACUGUCACCAGGCCUGACAUAGUCUUUUCAGUUCGCACAUUGAGUCAAUUUAUGCAUGAGCCCCACAAACCUCAUUGGGAUGCAGCUUUACGAAUUCUCAGGUAUAUCAAAGGCACUCCUAGUCAAGGCUUGUUAUUCUCUGCCUCUGAUAAUCUUGAGUUAAAGGCUUUUUGUGAUUCUGACUGGGGAGGUUGUCGUGCAACUAGAAGGUCAGUUACAGGGUAUUGUGUUUUUCUUGGAAAUUCUCUCAUCUCAUGGAAGUCCAAGAAACAAGACAAUGUUUCCAGAUCGUCUGCAAAAGCUGAAUAUCGGGCUAUGGCGAACACAUGUUUAGAAUUAACUUGGUUGCGCUAUAUAUUGCAAGAUUUGCAGGUUCCGCAAAAGGCUCCCAUACCAUUAUUUUGCGACAAUCAAGCCGCCCUGUAUAUUGCAGCUAAUCCCGUUUUUCAUGAGCGGACAAAGCAUAUUGAAAUUGAUUGUUACAUUGUUCGAGAAAAACUGCAAGCUGGAAUGAUUAGUCCUUCACAUAUUCCCACACGUUUCCAGUUAGCAGAUUUAUUUACUAAGGCCUUGGGGAAAGAUCACUUUGAGACAUUACGCAACAAGUUGGGACUUCAUAACAUUCACUCUCCAACUUGAGGGGGAGUAUUAGGAAAUAUUAUACGAUAUUAUAUGUAAAUAUCUUGUAUUAUAUUUACCUAAAUAGGUUUGAGUCAAAUCUCACCAAAUAUGGGUUAUUGUUCCCUAGCCUUUAAUGUAGGGUUGAAUAGUUGACUUGUUAUGUAUAUAUUGUACAACAAUGUAAUAAACGAAGCAUUCAAUCUGCCAUUCUCAUAGCAUUUUUAGUGUUCAGUCAUUUCAACAAUGGAUUGGAAGCCAUGGAUAUUUGUGAGAGUUUGUUUGGGUACUGGCCUUGCCUUGCUCGUGAUUUCAAGAGAGGCAAUGGAAAUGGUGAUUCUUGCUAUGAAUUUGGUAGUGAUGAAGGAAGAUAUGGAAAUACAUUGAAAUGAACUGCAGAUUGUCUUUUCGGAAGCUCAAAUUCGUAUGGUGAAAUAAGGGAUGAUGGAAACAACUAUUUACAGUAGGCAGGGUUGAGCAUGAGGAGGAUUUACUGAUGGGUAAAUUGAAGAUGUUUUGGAGAUUGUAAGAUAUCUGGCUUGUGGUUGUCCACAACUUUUUCAAGUCAGAGGCUUUGAUUGUGACUUUGUACGAAUGAAUAAUUAUGUUGGACAAAACCUUCUUAAUCAAUACUUGGUAUAAAUUGUUCAAAAAAAAAAAAAAAACUUGGUAUAAAUUGUUGUUAUAAGGAGACGGAUAUACUGUGCUAACUAAUUUAUCUAAACCUAAUUGGAAGCGAUGAACACAUUACCUUGACCAACUAAUCUAACCCACAUGCUAUUGAUUGCCUUUUGUUAAGGCGAUAACACAGCAGGUGGCAUCAGUGGACAAAUUAACUUAUGAAAGGACAAUUGGCAUGAAUCAAAAUCAUCGAAAGAAGGCUUGUCUGCCUCAUGAAGGCACAACGAUAAAGUUCUUUAAGAAAGCAAACCUUAGAUUUGAUGGUUAAUAGACUUGAUUAUGCUGCCUGAUGCAUCAACAAAAUCAUCUUCCUUAAAUAUUUGACAAGAAUAAUGAAGUUUAUCUGUUUAUGUACGGAAAUAUCAUUUUAAUACACCCAUUUUCACUGAUUUAUUUAAGAAAACGAACUUGAACAUUAGGGAAAAUGCUGAUUGAGUAGGGGUUAAUCCUAAACGGAUAAAGUUAUACAGUCCUGAUAUAUAAUAUAUAAAUCCAACAAAACGAAUAGCAUCACUGACUGUACAAGUAGGAAAAGUGUCAGGAUGUUUUCUGCUCUAAGCAAAACUUUUGUAUUUAUCAAUACCCUUCGGCAUUCUGAACUGAAGCAAUUACCCUUCUCAUUCAGUUCCAAUACACAACUAAGGUGCUUCGCUUAAUCAAAAUACCUAGAAAUCGAUCACUGGUUUCAUUUGAGUACCUCUCCUGGCACAUACUGGCCCGGGGCGGACCACUUUCCGGGCCCGUUCCACCACUGUAGCACUAUAUUGUCCGCUUUGGGCUUACCAUUCCCUCAUGGUUUUGUUUUUGGGAACUCACGAGCAACUUCCUAGUGGGUCACCCAUCAUGAGAUUGCUCUCGCGCGCUACUCGCUUAACUUUGGAGUUCCGAUGGAACCUGAAGCCAGUGAGCUCCUAAAAGGCCUCGUGCUAGGUCGAGAUGAGAAUAUACAUUUAAGGAUCACUUCCCUGGGCGAUGUGGGAUCUUACAAUCCACCCCCUUUUGGGAACUCACGAACAACUUCCCAGUGGGUCACCCAUCAUAAGAUUGCUCUCGCGCGCUACUCGCUUAACUUUGGAGUUCCGAUGGAACCCGAAGCCAGUGAGCUCCCAAAAGGUCUCGUGCUAGGUAGGGAUGAGAAUAUACAUUUAAGGAUCACUCCCCUGAACAAUGUGGGAUCUUACAUCUCUAGGGUAGACGGUAGACCUCCAGUAUUUUUUUGGUCAACACUAACUUGAAAAAUCAAAUACUUUAAAAAAAACAAAAAUAAAAAAAAACCAAAAAUCUCAAUCGUUCUCAUAAAUGAAAUAAAAAAUAAAUUUAAGAAAGAGGAGAGAGAAAGAGGCGAGAAAAAAAUGAGAAGAUAACAACUCACAUAUAUGAGUAAAUUGUAAAUGCAAAGAUAAUUAAAAAAACAACUAUGACAUCACUUGUCACGUGGAUAAAUUUUGUUUCUUUAUGAAAUAAAUAAAAAAACUACGUCUCUCUUCUAAAUAUGGACUUGGAUCCUCUCCUGAGCUAUUGCCAACGGAGCCUAGGGAUCCAUUAAUCACAGCCUUUCAAACUUGAUCCUACGGAUAAACUUCCUUAGCCCACUAAAUUAUUUCGAGGACUACGUGAGGUCGCCGUCGAACAGAGGGACGUUGGACUUGCCCGCGAAUAGAGGGGUUGGGGUAGUUGAGGUCGCUGGAGGAGAGAUGGGUGGAGUUGGGGGACUAGGUGGCGUCGCCAUCAAAGAGACGGUUGACGUUGGACUCGUCGGUGAACAAAGUGGUUUGGGUAGUUGAGGUCAUCAAAGAAGAGAUGGGUGGAGUUGGGGUUGCUAGGGAUGGAAGGUAUUGGGAUGAGCUCGCCGAUGAAGAGAAGGUUUGGGGAUGGGCUCGCCUGAGAAGAGAGGGAUUGGGGUGGGUUCAUCGGAGAACUGAGGGAUUUAGGGAGAAGAGAGGUCGAAAUUUUUGAAGGAAGGAAGUUUCUUGGCUGUAGGAUUGAUUUGAAGGGCUGUAAUUAAUGGAUCCCUAGGCUCCGUUGGCAAUAGCUCAAGAGAGGAUCCAAGUCCCUAAAUAUUGUCUUGUAAUUUGACUCUAUGUGUAAUUAUUUUUAAAUAAAAUGUACUCUUUUUUCCAACUUAUAUAUUAAUAUCUUCUCAUGUUGGCUUUCCCCAAAACGAAACCUUAAAUAAAACCCUCCUUGAAACCUCAGACAUUCAGCUUUUGUCUGUCCUUCACAAAAUGUCUCUGACACCAAUAUCUUUGCUCACUCUCUGUAUCCUUCUCCUUCUCCUUCUUCCUCCCACCGCCACCCUAACCCUCCACAACCUCCUCCAAAGCCAAGGCCUCCCUGCCGGGCUCUUCCCGGACAAUGUGAAGUCCUACAAUCUCGACCAGAUGGGCCACCUGGAGGUGCAUCUGGACCGUUCUUGCAUGACCAAGUUCGAGACAAGAGUUUACUUUGAGAGCAUAGUCAGAGCUAAUCUCAGCUAUGGCGUGCUCAGAGGCUUGAAGGGUUUGACUCAGGAGGAGCUUUUUCUUUGGCUGCCGGUGAAGGGAAUCUCAGUGAGCGAUCCGUCUUCUGGGUUGAUUUUGUUUGACAUUGGUGUUGCCCAUAAGCAGCUUUCUCUCUCUCUAUUUGAAGAGCCCCCUGUCUGCAAGCCUCAAUCUCAAGGUACUAAAAAAAUCCCAUCUUUUUAUUCUCUUUUUCUCUCUACAAAUUCAGUAGACUUGUACUAAUCUUUGAAAUGAAAUGUAAAUUUGGGAAUUUUUAUUCUCCACAAUUAAAUUCCAAUUGUCUAUUUGAGCCUUGGGCAAUGGAAAGAUUGUUCCUCUGUGAUCUCGAGUUGUGAGAAUAGUCUCUUUACAAAACAAGAGUAAGGCUGAGUCCGAUAGACGUUUCUCCCGACCUUUGCAAAGUAGGGAGCUUUGUUAAUUUGGGGUCGCGCCUUUUGUCUAUUUGAUAUUUGAUCCAAUGUAUUAGUGAAAAGAAGUGAGUUGCGCACGCCUUUUUCUCCAAUGUACAUCCUGGAUUUUAUGUGGCGUUUGAAUAAAUCUUAAAGGGAGCGCUGGAUGAGAAAAUGGUUGUGUGAAAAUCGUUGCAUUAUUGCAAUUUUUAGCAUUAAGGGUUGGUAAAAUUGAUAUUAGAAUCAUGGAAUGCAGGCAUUUCAUUGAAGAGUGAAGGAGGAAGGAAGAUUGGAUUUUAGGCCCAGAGAUGAAGAUUUGAUCUUUUGUCACUUGGAUAAUUUUUCUCCUUUUUUGGCUUUUGGGUAUUUUUCUCUCUUAAUUUUGAGCAAAAAGAUUGAAUGUUCAUAGAAACUUGUUAGGAUUGUAAAAACAAAGGAAAGCAAAAGUGAGUGUAAGAUUUUGAAUCAAUUGGUGCAAUUUUGGAAGUUUGUGUUAAAAAUACAACACCAGCCCAAUAAUUAAGGGCCAGCCCAUUUGGAAUCAUGAAUGAAAGCAUGAUUUUGCUAGAAAGUUCUAGCAUGUCGGUGGGCAUGCAUAAUAAGCUAGAUAAUUCUAGCAAGUUGUAAUAUUAUAUGGCUAUUAGCCAUAUGUUGGUGGGUGUGUGUGCGCGCGCAUAAUUAGUUGCUAGAAUAAUCUAGCAAAUGUCCAAGUCGGCAAGCAUUGCCUAUAAAUAUGUAUGCAUGUGUGUGUUGCUAGGUAACCAACAAGAAAUCAAGUAGUCGUAGUAGUAGGCAACCAAGUGAGAGUGAGAAGCAAGAAUAGUCUUGUAGGAGUGUGAGUGAUCUAGAAUGUGUUUCUAAAAAAUGAGUGAGUGUCAUUGCUUCUAAAGUUGUGUCAUUAUGACUGUUGUAAUAUUUUGUGUGUGUAAUACAAGUAAUUUGUUUAUUUGUGUUGUCUCUCCAACACUUGUGUUAGAGUUGUGUACUCUAGGUUUUUUUCACAACAGUUUGCACAAUUGGAAAUGUUCGGGUUUUAUAUAUUUUUGUCUUAAGUCCUCACAAUGCAAGGAGCUUUGUUGGCUUGGUUCGCCCUUUAGCUGCUUGGUUCCUAUCCCUAAGCCUGCAAUAUUGGAAUAUUGGUUAGCUGUCUUGUGGCUUUUUCUUGUUUGUGAUUUUUGUUCAUUGACACGUUUGUGGGAUGGUGCAGCCCCUUUUGUUCUUUUAUGUUGCCAAGCUAGCCAAACAAUUUUCCAUUUCUUUAAUCAAAUACCUUUAUUUAGAUUAAACUAGAAUAUCGCUUGGAUAAAACAUGAUUGUAAUAACGUUGUGGAUUGCCAUAUGCCAGGUGAAAUUAACAAGAAAUCAAAACAGAAAACUCUGUUAGUUUUUUUUCAAGUUGUUUGUGUUGUGUUGUGUUCUAAUUGAAUAUGAUUGUAUGAUCUGAUCCUUCCCUUUUGCUCUAUAUGCCAUUGAUGAUCUCCAGCAUCAAUUCCCGGGUUUGCUCAACUUCGAGCUUAUCACAGCAGAAUCCCUGAAAUUCAUUAGAAUUUAUAUUAACUUCUGGUGCUGGUAGAAUUUCAGAGCUUUCUUUGUUUUUACCGUGACUUACCGUUAUACAGGAUGAAACCAUCAUUACUCCGUUGGAGGUAGUGACGCUGGUGUCGGUGAGUUCGAAGCCAAAGCCGGUCAUGGCUUCCAUCAAUUUUGUGAACCCGCCUCGUUUCUUCUCGAGGACUGUCUUCACCCAAAGUUUGUUCCCAUCAAUCUUAGUCACAUUCACCUCUGUCUGCACAUUCCAGCAACAACAUUGAAAUAUAUGAGCAGAAAAAAAACUCCUAUAUUGUUUCAAAGAGAUUGAAUGUGAUGAGUUGUUAGCUGGUUGUCAAAACCUGAAUCCCGAAUUUCUUCAUCUCUUCAGCAGCAUGAGUUUCUUCUUUGUUCGGCUGCAGUGUUUCUUCUGAUGAUUCUUCCAUCUCAAAAAGCUGGUCUUUGAGGAAGUUUACUUUCUGCUGCAGCUCCUGGAUGUACGUGAUGGCAUCCUCAACAAUGGUUGCUUUGUUCAUCUGAAACACGAAAAACCAUAGUUGAGAUACUCAUGUUAAUAAUGGAAACUGGAAAAAUUUAAUGGAGGCAAGGGCUUUGAGGACUUGCAUUUGUGAUAUUCGGGACCAAUGCGCGUAGUGCAAGGAGCCUUCCACUGAGCUUCUCCCUUCUCUUCCUCUCAGCAACGAGAUUUUUGGAUUUGAAUUCGCCGCCAUUGUUGUGUCUCCUUCGACCCAUCCGUCCCCCUCGGCUGCCUCCUUCUGCUAAGCAUAAUUCAUCCAACACACAACUCACAGAGUCCAUAUUUCUUGAUAUAUUUUGAUCAAAGUUAGUUUAAACAAGUGGGAGGGAGUAGUUUCUGUUAUGAAAUUAUAUAGAUGGUCCUCACAAGGGUAUCGAAUUAUAUGUUUACUGAAAUAAUCUUGAUCGUUAAAUUUAAUCGAUGGAUGAGAUUAAAGGGAGGGAGAAGCAGCUUCAACAGCCAUGCAUAUAUGUGUGUGUUUUGCUUUUCGAAAGUGAUUUUUACCUUCUCAUUUUCUCUUUCUACGCUGUCUUUUUAUUUUUUAUUUUUUUCCGACUCCCGAUUUCAAAAAACAAGUAGAAGUAGAUGGGGAGGAAAAUGGUAUGCAAAAAUCACCACGGUUGUUUUUGUGUUUGAAUAUAUUCAUGUCAUACAUGUUGGUCUUGUUGACUGGAAAAAAGUACAUAAAGGAAUUUUGUAUGUUUGUUUUUUUUUUUUUUUUUGGGUACAAUGAAGGAUUUUUAUCAUAAAUGAUCCCUGAAAUUGACCUACUCAAUCAAGAUGAUUCAUGAAAUUGAAAAUCAAUCAAUGUAGUCCUUGAAAAUGAUUGUUGUAAAUCAUUGUGGUCCUUCCGUCAUAAUUCUGUUAAAUUUCUGUUAAGUUCUGAUAUGGCAUAUAAAUGUGUUCCAUAAAUUUAAUAAAAUAUUAUUAUGUGAAUAAAAACUAUUUAAAUAAUAAAAAUAAUUGUUAUUUUUUAUAAUUAAAAUAUUAAAAAAAGGAGGAGGAGAUGAUCGCCGCACCCACCAUUUCUGUUACUCCUUCACUCUCUUCGUUUUCUCAUAAAUUAACCCAGCAACAAACCCCACCAUAAACCCAGCAAGAAUACCGAAUACCAAACCCCCACCAUGAAAAGCGGCGACCAAUGCUCCCAUUCCAGUUGUACGCCGCCGUUUUGUUGGUCUCCAGUAUCUCCCUCCUCUUCCCCCCUUCUGCAUCGGGACUCGCUCAUUCCCGACGAGAGCGAUCGAUGGCGGUGAUGCCUUCGAAAUCGGCUCCGCCGCCUGGGCCCGAUUCUCCGAAGCCCCCGACUACCGAAACGGUGCCGAAUGCGCCGUUUCGUUGAACCGGGAAAUGGUGUCCUCCUACGACCCGUCGCUGGUCCACAUCGCCAUGAUUCUCGACUCCGAGUACCUCCGGGGGUCGGUAGCUGCCGUGCACUCCGUCAAAAAGAGGGGGAAAAGCAAAAGAAAAAAAGAGAAAAUCUUCACUCUUUUUUCUGUGUUCGAAUGAUGAGGGUGAUAAAUUGAUAUUAUGAGAGAGAGAGAGAGAGAGAGAGAGAGAGAGAGAGAGAGAGAGAGUGGAGGUGGAGGAUUCACUGGUGGCGAUGGAGACAUGACGCAAAGCCUUUGAAAAAACCUCAAUGAGCUUUAAAAUCUGGUGACUGAGAGCGAUGUGAUCCUUUUCUGAAUUGUGGAUUUAUGAGUUUGCUGUGACUUUCAUAUGGGGAACUGGAUUUUCUCCUUCCAAUUUCAUCAUUUCUGUGAAUAGGAGGAGAAGAAGAUGAACAGUGUUCAAUCAUCUCCUUCUUCUUUUUUAUUAAAAUUUUAAUUAUAAAAAAUAACAAUUGUUUUCUAUUAUUUAAAUAUUUUUUAUUUGCAUAAUAAUAUUUAAUUAAAUUUAUAGGAUCCAUUUAUGUGUCACAUCAGCACUUAAUAAAAAUUUUAACAGAAUUAUAACGGAAUGACCACAUUGAUUUGCAACAAUCAUUUUCAGAAACUACAUUGAUCGAUUUUUAAUUUCAGGAACUAUCUUGAUUUGGUGAGUCAAUUUCAGCGACCAUUUGUGAUAAACCCGUACAAAUAAUGAAGGUUUGUUAGGGCAGACUAUAUUCCUUUCUUGUAGACCGUAGAGUAUACUUAUUUUGUAAGGCCAUUUAAUAAAUACCUUCAUGGUAUUCGUACCAUAAUAGAAAUAUCUCCAAAUGUUUUUCGUAAUGAUCACACAAGAAAUAUGCAUUGUAUGUAAAAUGCUCAGUUUAAUAAAUCUCGUGUUGUAACCAAUCACGUGACAUGACAAAACAAUUAGUAGAUAAUUGGAGUAAUUUCUGAACAUAUGGCCACUAAAAGUGUGCGAUAGUUUUGGAGAGAAUCUCUCCAUAAAACUACUAAAUGUUGCGGCCACAAGAUAUUUGCCCCAAAUUCAUGAGGACAAGCUAAUGAUCCAGCCGGUUGAUUGUGUUGAGAGUAUGAACUUGAUAUCAAGGAAUUGAAGUCUCACUUAAUAUGUACAUAGUUGAAAUAAUCUUGUAUCUUUUCAUCCAGUCAAUCGAUUUUUAGUUGUAGUCAAAUUUUAAGUGACAUAAAAGUUCAGUGUUGGUAAUAACAAGUUUAGUAAAAAAUCUCGGCCAUUCAACAACUAGGAUAUUUUCUUUAGGGAGAAAAGAACUAGGAUAUUUUGUUUCCUUAGAAAAUAAAAUACUACAAGAGCAUCAAACUAAGAUUUCUUAUUUUUUACAUUCUCUCUUGUGGUAGCAAUUCAUAUGCCUUGCACUUAUGUUCUAAUUGUUUAUUUCUUGUUUUUACUCUAUACUUCCAUAAGAUAAUAUACUAUGGUAUUUUUAUUUGGACCCACUGCACGUAUGAAAUCGGAAUCAAAUCAACUUCAUGCAUGAAGCAUCGAUUCCACGUACUCGUCAAGAGAUGGAAGGCGCUGGUUGUCGUCGUAACUAUACAUCAGUGGCACCAUUCUUGUAAGAUUUAGGGAAGCCUUUGUGAAUGCUGCUGGAAAUGGAUUAGGAGACACCAAUACUUUGUUCAGCUUCUUCCAUUCUUGUGAAAUCAUAUUCGUAACAUGUUCUUGUGCUUCCUCCAUGGUUUUGCCUUGAUGUUCAUUUAAAUAGUAGUUUAUGUAUGACCCGUCGUCUCCAUCUUGAUUCUCAUCCUACGAUCAGUAUCACAAUAAGAAAAUCUGACGUGCUCUAUAUGCAUACAUGCAUGCUACAAAUUUUGAUGGACAAAUAUUUGUGCGAUGGAGCCGGCUAAGACAUCCGCCACACAUAAUAUAGAACCUUAGAUGCAGGGAUGAAUAUGAAUUUAGUUACUAUGGUGCUUGAUAUAAAUGGUACUAUAAAUAUGUAGUUACCUUGGCACUUCCCAAGUCGUCCCAAAGCCGAAGAAUUGCUGCUGUUGAAGAUAUAAUGGCUGGAGUGCCAUUCAAGAGCUCCACACUUUGUUUGGUUAUACCUUCACCCAAGAGAAAGAAAAUGUGGACCAACAUCACAUUCACCCCAGAAGAAAUAAUUCCAUUCUUCAAGUACUCUUCAGCCCUAGGCAAGUGCCCGGAUUUGAACCAUUUUGCUUCCACUAAAAAUGCAUUGCACAGACUCGCCCACUGCAUGCAUGCAUGCAAAUAGAAUGAAUAAUCUUUUAAUUAAGCCUUUCUUAAUUAUGCUAGUACUUAAUUGUCCCGACACUAAACUAGUUAGAUAAAUACACUUAAUAAUAAGCCAAUACUAUGGUUUGUAUAUAUACCGUCUUCUUUAGGGAAUGCAACGGGUUCCAUCCGUGCUUUUCAUAAACCUUACAGCUGAUUUCAUCCGUCAUGUCAUAAAGAGCUUUGAAGCAUAUCUUCAUGUAGUCCGGUAAAUGUUCUAUAGCACCAAUUUCCCAUCUGCAGCAUUACAAUUUACUGGUCAGUUAAUUGUAAAAAUUGGUGAAGUUAAUUAAAGUUACAGGACGCUCUAUUUGUUAUUACCUAUUAACAACCUCCGUGAAGAGUGUGAGAUCAUCAAGCGUCCCAUAAACGUCAAAAAUGUCAUCAAUCAAAUAGAUAAAUGAUACAGAUUUUGUGAACUCAAUCCUCUCAUCUGACAAGUUUGGGUUUGUUAGGCCUGCCAUGGACCAAUUGUACCAUUUAAUAGGUUGGUCUCUUGCAAACUUCAACUCCUUAGACAAUCCCAGCUCUUCCCACCAUCUAAUUAAGUUAAUUGAAACAAAUAAAUUAACAUUGAUUAAUAAUUGGUUAAUGAAUUAAAUGUAGAGACAACAAUUAAAGAUUAGGGUGGUAUUUUCCAAUAAAGUUAUUGACUUACUUGGAAACUUGAACAACUUCCUUCUGGUGAAGGGACUGGACCAUAUAUAAAUCUGUUUUUGCUACAGUUUGUAAUAUAUUUAACCACCUAUUGUAUGUUCCUUGGAAACCAGAGACAAAAAAGUUCUUGGCCAUGAAUGGGGCCAAGCUUUUAUGAUGAGGAUUUCUCAAUGUGUUUUCAACAACUCUGGCCUGGUGAUGGUCGAGAUGUAACAGGGAUGAAUUUAGGAAAUGGCCACUAAACUUUCCAGCUUCUUCAAGUACAACUUCACCCUCUGUACUUAGCUUUGAAGCUUCAUACAGACUCAUCAACCCCUUGAUGUCUUCACUUAACAUUUGAUUGAAAUUUCCUUCUCCUUCCUUGAAAUUGUUAAACACAUCUAUAUUCACACGAUAAACCCAAAUUUUGGAUUAGCUAGUUAUCACAUAUUGAAAUUAUACCAGCAAGGGUUGAGCUAAUUUACUGGUACCCAAUACCAACCUAUAGUAUUGAAUUAUAUAUAGAUGGUACUCACCAUCAGAGACGAAGUAACCAUGCUGCCUGAGUAGUCGAAAGCGGAGAGCAACUUCGUGCAGGUCGGUGGGAUCAUGAGCACCGUGAGCAGUAGUACUAGAUAUUAUAUGUUGCUUUUGGAGAAUUUGGUCAAUUUCAUCUUCAAAGUGGUAGUCUAUACCUAGACGUUGAACAGCAUCGAUCAUGUCCAAACCUUCAACUGCUUGUCCUCCCACUUUUUUUAAUGCACUCCUUAAGUCGUCCAAUUUUUGUUCAUGCUGGAAACAAAUUAUGCCAUCCUGCGCACAAGGAUGCUCCAUUUUUCUUACCUUAGAUGUGUGUGUGUGUUUGUGUGAGAGAGAGAGGAUUUUUCUUACCUUAGAUGAAGUAUACUUCGUUUUGGAGUUAAGUGGUUUUAAGGGAGUAGAAAGCAAGCUGUGAUCUUUGGGGAUGCUCCAUUUUUUAGAACUAGGGUUUUUCAGAGCAAUUGGAGGAGUACAAGACGAGGUCGCAAGGGAGGACAGAAAUUUUGAAAAUUCCAUAUUUCUAUAUAUCUAAUCAACUCCCAAAGAAGUAGAAGGCGAAUAGAGAAAAUGAGAUGUUUUUCGCUCCUCUUGAUCUCUCAAUUUAUAGAGAUUGUUCAUUGUGUAGAACAUGUUAUGAUACACUAAUUAGUCUCAUAAUACAAGUAGUUGAAUACUUGAAAAAAAAAUUUAACCAUUUGUAUUAUGACACUUGAUGUACUAAACGUAUUAAUUCCGGUCACACUAAAAAUUUCUCCAAUUUAUAGUCACCAUGAAAAUUGAUUGUCGCUAGUUAUUCAAGUUUUUUUCUUGUGUGGAGUCCUGAGUAUCUGGGUCGGUGGUCCAAGAAAGAAUAAAAUAUACUUAAAGUUCAAAGGCAGAGUACAAUAAUUAAGAUUAAGCAUCUAACUCUAUAAUUCUGUCAUGCAUUUACACAAUUUGGGGCCACUUUUCUCACCGCCUAAUCUUGAUUUGACCAUAAAGCUUGAGGUAACUAAUUUCUUGAAACAUGAAACAUAAGAUGGAGGAACAUUUUCCUGUCAAAUUUGUGUUUAGGGCUCAAAGCGAUCACUCCACCAUUAUAUGUACCGCACACCUUUUUCUCUCAUAUUAGUUCGGCUAUACUCCCUUAUGACAAUUGAUUUUAUAGUGAAAUCUCAAUUUUUUAUGAUAUCAGAGUAGGUUGGCCCACAUAUGAAGCUCAACAGCCACACGUGCUCCAUGUUACCCCUUUUGUGUUGUUCACUUGUUAGACUUAAAAAUUUGUCACAUGCGAGAGGGCACGUGAGGAUAUGAAGGGUAAAAGAUUCUCACAUCGGUGAAGUAAAAAACCUUACAUGAGCUUAUAAGAGGUUAAACUAUUCUCUAUAUUGCCAUUUGGUUUUAUGAUGGAACCACAAUUUUCAUUUCAAGUUAACCCUCAUGAAAGGGAGAAACUUGCAAAGUCCUAUGUUCGUCAACAACGGGACUAGGUGGAUUGUUCUACCAACUUAUAAUAGAAUGUAACUCUUAUCUUGGAGUUUCAACCUAAAAAAAUGACAGUAACAUGUAAAUAUAGAUGGUUUUUUCUUUGAAGAUAGAUCAGACAAUCCACCUUAUCUGAUCACUGUCUAACACAAUUUUUUUUUUUUUGCACUAGCGUGUAUACUCCUUUAUCCUAUUAGAGUGAGGAUCUAGUGACAAGGACCAUUUAGUAAUCUUAUUUUCUUACCCUAUCCUCCUGCAGGCCUCCUCCAUAUAUUGCAUCAUCAAUGAACAAAGUUGAAAUUUGAACAAUAUAUUUCUAAAGUACACAAAAUUUGGUUAAUAAUAAUGUUCCAAACUAUAUAUAUAUAUAACAACAAAGGGACUAGAGUAUUAAUUUAAACCAACAUGGUUGGGCGGCUCAGACAUUUUGUAACCUUUGAAUCUUUUCUUCUUCUUUCUAUUUGCAAAAGUAUAGGGGUCGGGGUCGGGAACUCGGGAUCCAAGGAAGAACCAAAUAUACUUGAAAGUUCAAAUGCAGUGUACGGAACGCGAAAAUAGUGCUAUUCGGCAAAAGCAUGUUUCGGACACCAUCAAUAUUGAAGGAAGCUUCCAAACACAUCUGCCCAAAUUACUGAAAAAAGAUAAAUAAAUGAAAUACGCUCAGAUCUACAACCUUUUGGUUUGGCAAACUUGUGCGGAUCUCAACUAUAUCUAUUUUCCUUUUCUUUAUGUUCUUUGGUAAAAAAAAUUAUAAUAAAAUAGAUUUUUUUUUAAUAAACGAUAUUAUCUAUAUUAAGGUUCAUGUACACGAUUACGUAAUUCAUUAAUUAUGUAAUAUGUAUUAUUUAGAGAAUUGUUUUUGUUGAAUAUAAUUUAGUGAGUUCGACAGCAGCACUCAACACAACUUAAUUAUGACCAAACUAUUUUUUAGACAUUUUUUAAGGAAAUAUAGCCAAAAUGAUCUCUAAGAUUUGCAUAACUUCUCAUUUGGUCAUUGAGAUUUGAAAUCAAUACAAUUGGUCUUUAAGAUUGUCCACCAUCAAUCAUUUUGGUAUUUGCGUGAAUAGUUAUGUUAAAUAAAUAUUAAAAUGAUAAAACUACCCUCAAUUUAAUAAACAAUAGACCAAAAUGAUUUGACAAAAUUUGAGAGUAUUUUUGUCAUUUUAUCCUUAUUUAAUGGCGAUUUUUAACAGAAUUACCAAAAUAAUUUAGGGUGGACAAACUUAAAAUGAUUUGCAUCGACGUCAGAAACGAUUUUGAAUAUAAAUAAAUAAAUUUUGUUGCAUGUCAGAUAUCCUAUUAUACCAUUUUUUUAUACGUACUUUUGUUUUCUUAUUCUUUUGUUUUUUUCCUAAAGCGCUGGCUACAAGAGAGAUUCUUUUCUUUUCUUUAUUCCUUAUUCUUUUUGUUUUUUUUUUUUUUUUUUUUUGACUUAUGUGGUACUGAUUGAAUGUGUUGGUCUUAUAUUUGUAUGACAUGGUCAAUGACAAGUGGGCAUGACAAAAAUCAAGUACAGUGUAAUGAAAACUAAAUUUCAAUGGGUUAAAUUUAAAAUUUUGACAUUGAAGAAAAAAAUAAAAUAAAAUCUCAAGAAACAAUAGAAAUGUUAUAACAUAUACUUUAAAACCCAGUCAAUACGGUUACACACCAAUUAUCAUUUUUCUUUAUUCUUUGUUCUUUCAGUUCUACUGAGAAAAACGUUUCAAUGCUCCAUUUUGAUGACUCUAUUUUUUUCCCCCUUAGUUUAUGUGCACUCUCGCUUGCGAGAUUAUUAAAGACGGAAGAUCAUUAGCACUUUCGUUAGCAAGUUAGCUAGGGUGGUUGUUCAUCAGCGGAUUCCCCUUUUGUUCUUUUAGCUGAAAGGAUAAUAUACGAGAUAUGGUAGGAAUACUGAAAGUCACUGUAGGAGUACUGAAAUUAGUCAAAUUAGACAGAAGUUGAUGAGUAAAGUUGGGUACUAAGGUCAUCUCCAUCCAAAAUGACUAAAUAUGGUCUCAUCCAGAAUUAUAGUUUUGUAAUUUUUUUUAAAUGAAUAAUAUCAAAGCAUAUUCAUAUACCAUUUCUAACUGAAAGAGUUAAGCAUAGUCUAUCAAGAAUUUAUUAGCUUUCAGUUUUUUCUUUGAAUUUAUUGAUUAAUUUAAUUAAAUUACUACUUAUAUCAUUUUAAAAUAUAGUUAUUCGAACAUUAUUUUUGAGUGUUAGGUGAAGGACAACUUCUAGAAGACACGUUAAAAAGAAUUUUCACAAGAAUUUCAACAAUUUAUCAGUAAUAAUAAAAAAGAUUAAUUGUUAAUUCCUCAUGAUUAUAAUUACAGGAAAUAGGGAUGGCCUACCAAACCUAAUUUUGGGACUUUUGUUAAGUAAAGUUGGGAAUGGCACAUAAUGUUGAUGGGUCUGUACGUGAUCCUCAGACAUUUUCACGAUGCAUACGAGACUCACGUCAAUUCCUAUCGUGAUCCCACACUGUUUUUUUUUUGGUAUGCUGCGGGAAACUGGAACGGCAAGACUUUUCGAAAAAACGAGUACAACUUUGAAAUUUUCGUUUUUUUCUUCUUUCUUUUUAUGGAAUUACUAGUGACUAGUUACUGUAAGAAGGAAAAAGAUUCUUUUCGAAUCUUCUUUGUGGAGAUCUGAGGGAUCAAUAAAUCACGACCGUUCAUCGUAUAUCAUGCGAUUAUUUUUUGUUAAAUACUAUUUAUGUUCAAUUUUAAAUUUUAAAUGAUUUCUGACCGCGUGAUGUACGAUGAACGAUAGUGAUUGAUUGAUCAUCCAGAUCCCCACAUAGAAAAUCUGAAGAUGAAUCUUUUCCCUAUAAGAAGAACAACAACCCAAAACGCUAACUUUGUGGAACUUUCAUUGUUUUUGUUAAACAUUGAUUACGACCCCCGGGACUGAAAGCUAAAUUGGUAUUAAUUCCACUCCAUGCAUCUUCCUUUUUCACCUACAUACACAGCUAAGAGCAUCUCUAAAAAAGAUGUCAAAAUAUAAAUGUCAAAUGUUAAUUUGAUAGCUGAUGUGGUAAUGUUAGAUUUUCUAUUUUUCCAACUGAUAUGUUUCUUUGUUAUAAAUGAUAUCUGUAGGACUCAUUUUAAAAAAAAAUCAAUUAAAAUACAUUUUCAAAAUCUAUAAUUGGUGCAUUAAUAGGACCCACACAGUAAAAUAAUUAUAAAAAAAUUGGCAUCAAAGUCAUUACAAAUUGUACCAUCUUAAUCACAAACAGCAUCCCUUAUGUACAACAUGGUAAAGUUUUUUCACGUUCCUUUUCACAUUAGUCCCAAUCCUCAUCCAGAGGAUUGCAUGGGAUCUUCAUUUGAACUUUAGCAACCUAUCUUCGGACGUGUAAAACCGGAAUCCUUUCUUCAUCCAACAGCCUUAAUUAUAUCGGGCGAUGGUGUUAAAUCGAGUCUAAACAAUUAGAGAUUAAACCAUGCUGAACUCUAGUUUUGUCAAGCUCUUGUGAUAGGGAUGCUCCAAUGCAUAUGCGACUGCUGAAGCUUGAUGUGUUAGUGUUGAAGAACAAUGUUUGAGUUAUAAUUUGUCUUGAAAAGGCUCAAGAGUUAAAGAGUAUGUGGAAUAAACAACGACAAUAAUUUAAUGUGAAACGGAAAGUCCAAUUUUUGUUAUAGAACUUAAAAUGUGUUUUUAGAUGUAUAAACGGCCUUGGUUGGGGAUUGGUUUAAUUAAACACAGGUAUAAUUAUAUGUUUACUGCAAUAAUCUUGAUCGUUAAAUUUAGUCAAUGGAUGAGAUUACUGAGAGGAACAAGAGGCAUGUUCAACAACCCUUCAUAUAUGUGUUGUCACAUUACAUUUUCUACAGCUAAAUAAUCUAGUCCAAUAUGCUCAAAGGGUACAUUUUCUUUUUGGGCUGCGGUCAAGACUCAAGCCCAUAUCAAAAGAAUUCGAGUUGUAUUUUUUACAUUACGUGUUUUAAUAGGAAUUGUGAGAACUUUUAUUUUUUAAGUUUUUAAUUUUUUAGCACACAUAUCUCACAAUUUGUAUAAUGACAUAUGAUGUACCAUUCCGUUAUUGGCUGAAAAAUCUCAACUCCUCCUCCGAGAGGAUGUCGUUCUUCUCCAGCGCUCCUUCUGCACCGCCACCCAAUCUAACGUCACCAGCGGUAGGAGCAUUGGCGCCAUCUCCACCGACCUCUACAAAGAGCGCAACCUCAAACGCCUCGUUGAGAAGUUCAAAAAAUCAUCCGAGCUCUAUCGCUUCCGUACCAAACUCCCAUUUAGAGGACACCGUACGCCGUCUCGCCUCCGCAAAACGUUUCAAGUGGAUCGAGGAGAUCCUGGAGGACGAGAAGCAGUACGCGGACUUCUCCAACGAGGGAUUCGCUGUCCCACUGGUUAAGCUUUACGGGAGAAUGCCGGUGCUUGACGAAAUGCCUGAGAAAAACUGUGAGCGCACCGUCUUGUCCUUUAAUGCCCUCUGGGUGCUUGUGUUAACUCCAAGGAUUUUGACAAGGUUGAUGAGGUUUUCAGAGGGGUCUCUCAGAAGUUGUCAAUUGAACCAGAUGUGAUGUCGUAUAAUACUAUGAUCAAGGCGUUUUGUGAAAUGGGUUCGUUGGAUCGGCGGUUUCGAUGAGAUGGAGAAGAAGGGUGUUGAGUCGGAUAUGAUCAUGUUCAACACAAUCAUGAAUGGGUUGUUUGCGAAUGAUCAGUUUUUGGCAGCCGAGAAUCUAUGGAGUUGAAUGAAGAAUGUUGUCCCUGAUGUUAGGAGCUACAAUGCCAGGUUGUUGGGAUUGGCUUCGGAGAAGAAAACUGACGAGGCGGUUGAAUUGUUCAAGGAAAUGCGGAACAAGGAAGUAAAACCUGAUGUGUUAAGCAUCAAUGCCUUGAUCAAGGGAUUUGUUAAUGAGGGUAAAUUGGAAGAAGCUAAACAGUGGUAUCGUGAACUGGUGAAGCGUAGUUGUGCUCUGCAGAAAUGAACUUUCCAGGCUCUUGUUCCUUUUGUUUGCGAGAGGGGUGAUUUGGACUUUGCCUUUGAACUCGGCGACAAAAUUUUCAAAGGGCGUCUCCUUGUGGAUGUGGAGUUACUGCAGACUCUGGUGGAUGGGAUAGCUAAUGCUUCCCGGAUCAAUGACGCAAAGAAGAUUGUGAGGCUUGGGAACACAAAUACAUACCUGCGUUACAAUUUGCAGUUGCCUUCAGAGGAAUAAUGUAUUUCUGUUGUUGUUUGUUUCUGUUUGCAUGUCGAAAUGUUUGUGCUUUUAUUGCUAGACACUUCUAAUUUAUAUAGUUAAAUUUGUGCAAGCUUCAAACAUUCCUUCAAUUUCAGUGUUGAAUAGUUAUUAUUACACAGAUUUUCAUACAGCCUGGAUUUCAUAUACGCCUCAAGAGGUGGAAGGUGUUGGUCAUCAUCGUAGCGACACAUUAACAGGACCAAUUCUUUGUUUAACUGCUUCCAUUCUUCCUAAAUCAUAUUUACAGUAUUUUCUUGUGUUUCCUCUGUUGUGCUAGGACAGCACCAAACCCGUUGGAACCAACUCAAGCUAACCCACAGGAAAUUUAUCAAAUGAAAUGCAAGAACAAAAUAUUAAAGACACCAAGAUUUUAACGAGGUUCCUCAACAGUCAGUGUAACUGGAGUACGUCCUCGGAGCAGUAGGAGCUCACCCAAUAAUCCACUAUCAACCAAAUGGGAGUUUACAAAAUGUUGACAAUCUCACAACCCAAAAGCCCAAUACACCCAAUAACUCUCACACACCAAAGAAACAAAUAGAGAGGGAAAUAUAGUGAAUAAUUUCAUCUCUAUACAAAGCUCAAAGCUAAUACACGAAUACAACUUUGAUUGAGUGAGUACCAACAAAGAAAGAAAAUCACCUUUCUUUCUUCUAUUCAAAAUGGGGCUGCAGCACCUCUGUUUUUGCUCUCAUUUUCUGCUACGUUUUUUUCCUCUCUUAUGGCUUCAUUACUACACUUCAUCAAAAAUAGCAAUUAUUUCUCUUUCGAAGAACUCAUCCGUGACUUCCCAUGGACCAAGACAACUUUAGACCAAUUCCCUUUUCUUUUCCCCAAAACAAGGAAGAGACAUAAUUAUUUUGUCUUUUUUUUUCUUUUUGAUUUGUUUAAUUAAAAGGUGGCCACUUGGCCACAUACUCCAACAAUCUCCACCUUGGCCAAGUUCCGAAAAACGUCAUGAUAAGCCAACCAACACAAUUAACACACAACAUCACUCCCAAACAUUAGCAAGAGAACAACUCAUGCCGAGCCAAAUACUCCAAAACUCCUACUGCUCAACGCCUUCUUUAUAUAGGCAUAAUGUGAGCCAAGUUCAAACAGUGAACAAACUUGGCUACACCAACAACCUUAGUCAACAUAUCAGCGGGGUUGUCUUUCGUUGGAAUCUUCUGGAGAAUGAUUUCCCCUUCACCAACAAUUUCACGAACAAAGUGAUAACGCACAUCUAUGUGCUUGGUCCUCGCAUGAUGAACCUGAUACUUAGCCAAAUAAAUGGCACUCUGACUAUCACAAUGUACCUCCACCUGCUGCUUCUGAUCAACCCCCAAAUCUCUAAUAAGCCCAUGUAUCCAAAUGGCCUCCUUUAUAGCUUCAGCAACUGCCAUAUAUUCAGCCUCUGUAGUAGACAAGGCAACAGACGACUGCAAAAUGGACCUCCAACAAACUGGCCCUUUAGCCAUAGUAAACACAUAGCCUGUAGUAGACUUCCUUCCAUCCAGAUCACCUGCAUAAUCUGAAUCAAUAUAACCAACUGCAAAAUGACCAAUACCAGAGUCAUCUCUCUCAAAGCAUAAACCAACAUCUCGAGUACCAUGGAGAUACCUCAAUAUCCACUUAGCUGCUUGCCAAUGCUCUUUACCUGGAUUAUGCAUAUAUCGACUCACCAUGCCAACUGCAUGAGCAAUAUCCGGUCUAGAGCAUACCAUUGCAUACAUCAAACUACCAACCAAAUUUGCAUAUGGUAUAUUUUUCAUUUGCAGCUUCUCUUUAUCAGUUUUAGGACACUGUAAAGAACUCAAUUUAAAAUGAGGAGCCAAAGGGGUACUAACCGGUUUGGUUGAAUCAUGAACUCCAAAUUUCCGAAUCAACUUCUCAAGAUAUUGUCUUUGAUUCAAACUGACCAAACCCUUCUCUCUAUCUCUAGUGAUCUCCAUGCCAAGGAUCUUCUUCGCUUCACCAAGAUCCUUCAUCUCAAACUCAUUCUUCAUUUGCUUCUUCAAUUUCUCAAUCUCUUCAACAUUCUUUGAGGCAAUCAACAUAUCAUCAACAUAUAUUAACAAAUAAAUGAAAGACCCAUCUUGCAACUUCUUGAAGUACACACAAUGAUCAUAUUGACUUCUAGAAUAAUUUUGGCCUCUCAUAAAUUUAUCAAACCUCAAAUACUAUUGCCUUGGAGAUUGCUUCAAGCCAUAAAGCGAUUUCUUCAAUUUGCAAAACAAAUUUUCCUUCCCUUUCACUAUAUACCCAUCCGGUUGACACAUAUAGAUCUCUUCAUUCAAAUCACCAUGUAGGAAAGCCGUCUUCACAUCAAGUUGCACAAGCUCAAGAUCAUACUGUGCAACAAGAGCUAACAUAAUGCGAAUUGAGGAGUGUUUCACAACCGGAGAAAAGAUUUCAUUGUAGUCAAUGCCCUCCUUUUGUGCAUACCCUUUAGCAACUAAUCUUGCUUUAAAUCUCACAUUGCUUUUCUCAUCAGCAUCUUCCUUCUUGGCAUACACCCAUUUGCAACGGAUAGCUUUCUUGCCCUUAGGCAAUUUAGCUAAGUCCCAAGUCUUGUUCUUCAAGAGAGAAUUCAUCUCAUCACCCAUGGCAUUGCACCACCUUUUCUUCUCCUCACUCUCAAUAGAUUCCUCAAAAUUGGAUGGAAUCUCAUCAGUGAUAAUAGGAAGAGCAAAAGCAACAUAGUCACUGUACCGAGCUGGCUUGGUAAUUUGUCUCUUUCCUUUGUUCUUAGCAAUAGACUCUUGAGGUGAAACUUGCUCUUCAACUUGAAUAGAAUCUUCAAGUUCAACUUCUUCAACAUCCUCAUGGUCUCCAACUUCUUCACUUGUAGUGGCUUCGACAUCAGCGGAAAUAGGAUUUGAAGUAUCAGAGGCAACUUUCUCAAGCUCCACCUGUUGGACAUCUUUCACAUUCUUCUCAGAGACUUUGUACAUACUUUCUUCAUCAAAUGUCACAUCUCUACUAAUUACCAGUUUCUUCAUCUCUGGACACCACAACCUGUAACCUUUGACCACUACUAAAACCAAGAAAGAUAGCCUUUUUGGCUCUAGGAUCAAGUUUAUUUUCAGUCACAUGAAAAUAAGUAGGUGAACCAAAAAUACGGAUAUAGUCAUAAUCAGAAGAAGGUUUUCCAGUCCAUACCUCCAUUGGUGUCUUACCCUGAACAGCAGCUGAAGGUAAUCGGUUGAUGAUGUGACAUGCAUAAUUAACUGCUUCUGCCCAAAAUGACUUGCUUAAACCCGACUGAGACAACAUACAUCUAACCUUCUCAAGCAAGGUUCGAUUCAAUCUUUCUGCAACUCCAUUUUGUUGUGGAGUUCCCCGAACACUAAAAUGUCUCACAAUUCCUUCCUCUUUGCAAACUUUAAAGAAAGGGUCGGAUGUGUAUUCACCACCAUUAUCCGAUCUCAAAAUCUUAAUCUUUCUCCCAGUCUGGUUCUCAACCAUUUUCUUCCAUCCCAAGAAAAUGCUUAACACCUCACUCUUAUGCUUCAUAGUGUAGACCCAAGACCUUCUUGAAUAAUCAUCAACAAAGGUCACGAACCAAUGUCUACCACUCAAUGAAGGAGUCUUUGUAGGACCCCAAACAUCCGAAUGCACAUAAUCAAGAAUGCCCUUCGUCUGAUGUACAGCAGUACCAAACUUCACUCUAGUUUGCUUCCCCAAGACAAAAUGCUCGCAGAAAUCAAGUUUACAAGUCGUGGCACCUUUUAAAAGACCUUGUUUCACAAGCCCUUGUAGAGCUUUCUCACCAGCAUGGCCUAAUCUCAUAUGCCACAGUCUAGUAGUAUCUGAAUCAGAUGUACCCAUAUUUUCUGAGACUACAGAUGCUUCACCUGUCACAGUGCUUCCCUGCAAUAAAUACAAAUGGCCACAUCUAGGAGCUUUCAUCACAACAAGUGCACCAUAAGUAACUUUCAAUGUAUGUCCAUCUGAAUGAAACCUGAAACCCUUAGAUUCCAAAGUACCCAAAGAAAUAAGAUUUUUCUUCAAAUUCGGUACAUACCGAACACCUGUCAACUCUUUAACCAUGCCAUCAUGCAACUUCAAACGAACUGUACCAAUCCCUUUUGUUGUGCAAGGAUUGUCAUCUCCCAUGAACACAACGCCACCAUCAAACUCUUUCAAGCUUGAAAACCAAUCCUUGUGAGGAGUCAUAUGAUGAGUACAACCCGUAUCCAACACCCACUUAGUAGCACAAUCAAAUGAUGAGGAAGUGGUUAAAGCAAAAUCAGAAAAAUCUGUUUCAACCUCAGCAACAUUAGCUUCAGAACUUUCUUUGCCUUUGGUCUUCAAUUUAGGACAAUCUUUCUUCCAAUGGCCCUUAUUACGACAAAAGGCACAUUCAUCUCUUUCCAAAGGUUUUCUACCUUUAGAGUUUCCUCUAGGUCGAGACUGUGAUUUUUUCCUACUAGAAGAUGAUCUUCUCUCCGAUGAUCUAACUCUAACAAAUAAAGCUUCAAAUGUACUAUCAUGAUUUUUAUCUCUAUGCCUCAUUUCAUAAUUCAUCAAGGCAUUUGACACAUCUUCAAAUUUCACAGUUUCUUUACCAUGCAUAAUAGUGGUAACAAAAUGCUCAUAAGAGUCCGGCAAGGAAUUCAACAAUAUUAAGGCCUUAUCUUCAUCCUUAAUAUCCUCAUCUAAAUUUAACAAGUCGGCAAUCAACUUAUUAAAAGCAUCAAGGUGUCUAAUCAUUUUUAUACCUUCUUUGUAUUGGAAGCGGUAGAGUUUUCUUCAAGUGUAGCCGGUUCUCUGCACUCUUCGUCAUAUACUUGUCUUCCAAUUUUUGCCACAACACACUUGCUACCGUCUCCCGCAUCACAAAAUACUUCUGAGUUUUUGCAAGGCACAACCGAAUUGAAGAGCAAGCCCACAAAUUUAAUUUCUCCCAUUCCGGCUUCGACAUAGCUUCUGGCUUCUCUCCCAAAGCGGUAAGUAGAUCUUGUUGAGCCAACACAUCUUUGACCUCACAUUGCCACAUCCCAAAGUUGUUUGUGCCAUCAAACUUUUCCACUUCGAACUUUGCAUUUUGCACCGUAGUUCUUGCAAACCCGGAGCUGCUUCCAAAAGGAUUUUCAUCUUGCCCAUCUGACAUCUUUGGCAACUAGACAGUACCCAAGAGCAACCAGUGCUCUGAUACCAAUUGUUGUGCUAGGACUAGGACAGCACCAAACCCGUUGGAACCAACUCAAGCUAACCCACAAGAAAUUUAUCAAAUGAAAUGCAAGAACAAAAUAUUAAAGACACCAAGAUUUUAACGAGGUUCCUCAACAGUCAGUGUAACUGGAGUACGUCCUCGGAGCAGUAGGAGCUCACCCAAUAAUCCACUAUCAACCAAAUGGGAGUUUACAAAGUGUUGACAAUCUCACAACCCAAAAGCCCAAUACACCCAAUAGCUCUCACACACCAAAGAAACAAAUAGAGAGGGAAAUAUAGUGAAUAAUUUCCUCUCUAUACAAAGCUCAAAGCUAAUACACAAAUACAACUUUGAUUGAGUGAGUACCAACAAAGAAAGAAAAUCACCUUUCUUUCUUCUCUUCAAAAUGGGGCUGCAGCACCUCUGUUUUUGCUCUCAUUUUCUGCUACGUUUUUUUCCUCUCUUAUGGCUUCAUUACUACACUUCAUCAAAAAUAGCAAUUAUUUCUCUUUCAAAGAACUCAUCCGUGACUUCCCAUGGACCAAGACAACUUUAGACCAAUUCCCUUUUCUUUUCCCCAAAACAAGGAAGAGACAUAAUUAUUUUGUCUUUUUUUUCUUUUUGAUUUGUUUAAUUAAAAGGUGGCCACUUGGCCACAUACUCCAACAUCCUCCAUUGAAGAACCUAGAUUUUCAUCUAAGUAGCGUCGUAUGUAUGACCCCUCGUGCCGAUACUGAUUCUCAUCCUUCAGUCAAGCUAUGCACUUUUUGAGAGAUAUGAACAAGAUGUUUACUCUAUGUAACGUGUUUGAUUUGAAUCUAAUUAUAUAUAAUCACCUCGGCGCUUCCCAAAUCUUCCCAAAGCCGAAGAAUUGCUGCUGUGGAAGAUGCAAUUUCUAGAGUUCCAUUCAACGGCUCCACGCUUUCUUUGGUUAUACUUUGACCCAAGAGAAAGAAUCUAUGCACCAUCAUCGCAUUAACCCCAGAAGAAGGGUUAAUCUCAUGCUGAAGUUUUUUAGUUUUCAACUUUUAGUACAUGAUUUUUUUUUUCAUUCUAGUCUGAUACCUAAAGUCAUAAUUCUGGGACAUUUUCAUAUAUCCGUUAAGUUUUCCGUCAGGACCUCAAUUAACUGAUGAUGUGGCGCUCACUUGGACAAUGAUUGAGCGCCACGUGUCAAUAUGGGCCUAUGUGAAUAUUAAAAAAAUUAAAGUUUUUUCUUUCUUUUCUAGGCAUCCUACUUCCCUCAGACCCUCUCCCCUCAUUCUCCCUCCAUUCUCUGCACCCACCCUCCCCGCUCACCCACAAUUUGCCCUGCUCCUCUUCCACCUAUCUAGGUAUGACGUAGGCUUUGCCGCCGCACAAAUGGGUCGGUGUUAUCGAAGGUCAGCCGCAGGUGGCGGUGGAUCAACGGAGUCAGUAGCGGAUCGACGUUUCGGAGAUAGCUAAUUGCAGUUUCGAUUGCUGAACUAUCUUAAUCUUGGAGGCCAUGGUGACGGUGACGGGUUUGGGGGUUUCGAAUAUGGCAACGAUCUGAUGGGAGGAAUUGGGUGAAGAGGGUGGAGGAGAGAGAAGAGAGGGGAGGUGAAGAGGGUAGGGGUGGGUAUUGUAUAGAGGUUGGGUGGGUGCAGAGGAAAGAAGGGAGGGAGCAAGGUAGAUGUGUGGGUGUGCGGGGAGGUGGGUGUAGGGAAAAGAAGGGAAGGAGAAGGAGGGAGGGUGUAAUAUCCCACAUCGCCCGAGGGAGGGGAGGUGAUGUGUCUUAUAUGUAUAUGUCCACCUCCCUAUAGUAAGACGCGUUUUGGGUGGAAGCCCAAGAACAAAACCGUGAGGGCGUGGCCCAAAACGGACAAUAUCUUAUUAUGCGGACUGGGAUGUGACAAUUUGGUAUUAGAGCCACUCCCCGGCCGAAAGUGUGCCGACAAGGGCGUUGGGCCCCUAAAGGGGUGGAUUGUAAGAUCCCACAUCGUCCGGGGGAGGGAAGGUGAUGUGCUUUAUAUGUACAUGCCCACCUCCCUAUAGAAAGACGUGUUUUGGGUGGAAGCCCAAGAACAAAACUGUGAGGGCAUGGCCCAAAGUGGACAAUAUCUUACCAUGCGGACUCGUGAGGGCGUGGCUCAAAUCGGACAAUAUCUUACUAUGUGGACUGGGAUGUGACAAAGCGAGGCGGGAAGGGUGAGGCAGGAUGCCCAAAAAAGAUUUUUUUUUUAAAAUUUCCACGUGGAUCCAUAUUGACAUGUGGCGCCCAGUCAUUGUCCACGUAGGUGCCACUUCAUCAGUUAAUGAAUGUUCUGACGGAAAACUUAACGAAUGUAUGAAAAUGUUCCAAAAUUAUGACUUUAAGUACCAAACUGGGACAAAAAAAACUUCAUGUAUCAAAGGUUGAAAAUCAAGAAAUUUUAGGGUAGUAAACUAAGAUUAACCCCUAGAAGAGACAAUACCAUUCUUUAAGUAGUCUUCCGCUUUCGGCAAGUGCCCGGAUUUGAACCGUUUUGCUUCUGCUAAAAAUGCAUUGCACAGAACCCCCCACUGCACGUGAUAGUAGAAUUAACUAUAUGUUAAACCUUCUCUUGAACAAACUAGUAAUUAAAUUUCAUGACACUAAUCCGGUUUAAUAUAUUACCUUCUUAAACGAAUGUAAUGGGUAUCGCCCAUGCUUUUGAUAGAAUUUGCAGCUGAUUUCAUUCGUCAUAUGGUAAAGAGCCUUGAAAUAUAUGUUCAUGUAGUCCGGUUUAAGUGCUCUAUAGCACCAAUUUCGCAUCUGCAGCGUAACAUUUACUGAUCAAUUCACGGUGAAAACUGGUGAAGCCAAUUAAGAAAGUACAGGCAUUUUAUUGUUUACAUAUUGACAGCCUCAGUGAAGAGAGUAAGUUCAUCAAGCGUCUCGUACAUCGAAAAUGUCAUCGAUAAAUGGUUUUGUGAACUGAAUCCUCUCCUCUUACAAGUUAGGAUCUGUUGAGCGCAAACUACAGUUCCCUAGGCAGUCCCAUCUCUUUCCAUCACCUAAUUAUUUUGUUGGAUGAAAUAAACAGACAAAUUAGGAUUUCUAUAGUGCAGUUAAUCGUAUUGUUUACAUGCAGAUAUAUUCUUGAUAUUGAUGAUAUUGUUGGUACUUCGACCUUGUAGAUAUGUGUACAACAUGGUUGACGAUAAAUUGGACAGCAUUUUUAAGAAGUGCUGUUAAAUGCACGAUGUCAGUUAAUUUUGGAAAUUUGAAUAUCUACUUCUGAUGUAUGGACUGAACCAAAUUAAAAUCCGUUUUGCCACAUCCUGUAGCAUAUUUAGCCAUCUAUUGUUCAUGCCAGCUUGGGAAUUAGUAAAAAAAAGUGGCCAUGAAUGUGGCCAAGCUUUUGUGAUGGGGGUACUCCAGUGUGUUCCCCACAACUCUGGCCUAAUGAGGACCAGGAUAGGACAAUGAUCUAUUAGGAGAUCACUACUCAAUUUUCCAGCUUCAUCAAAUGCAUCUUCUCCUUCCCUGCUUAGCUGUGAAGCUUCAUACACACUCAUCAAUCCCUUGACCUCUUAACUAAUUAACAUUUUCUUAAAAUGCUUCCUUCUCUUUCCUUCAAGUUGUUGACACAUCUAUUAAUAACAAAAGUUAUAAUUGGGAGUGAUUGACUGAUAUUGAAUAUCAAUCUACAAUACUACGUAAAUAUACGAAACAAAUUGUUACCGAAAUUUUAGUUAUACUCACCCUCAGGCACGAAGUGACCAUGUGGCCAUAACAGAAGGGCAACUUCAUGAAGGUCAUUUUGCUGAUGAGAAAGGCCAGGAGCUGAUAGAUAUGAUUAGGUCAAUUUGUUCUUCGAUAGUGGUAAUCUAUACCUAGACGUUGAACAACAUCGAUCAUGUUCAAACUUUCGAGCGCGCCUUCUCCUCCUACUUUGCUCAAUACAUUCCUGAAGGCCUCCAACUUUUAUUCAUGUCAGAAACGGCAUGUCAUCCUGCAAGCAAAGUGGAGUUAUUGGAAGAGUGGACAUAGGUUUGGAUAUAAAUAGCUGAAUGAGAUUAGAGUGCCCAAGAAGUAGGAUCUCUUUUAGCAAUAUUUGGAGUGGAGAUAGCAAAGAUGGCCUGAGAAGAAAAUGCCAUAGAGGGAAGAGUACAAGGUAUGUACCUUGUUUAACAAGUGUUUAAAUUUGUUGGCAUUCUUCGGCACAUGUAUCUAACCAGGGCCGGAGCCAGAUAGAUGUAGGUGGCCCUGACCCUCUCGCACCAUUUGAGCAAGCUUACAUUAUUCCUUGAUUUGCACAAGUUGUUCAUCAUUCAAUGUUACUUUUAUAUUAUAUGUUUUGCCUUUCAGCCCUACACAUAAAAUUGUUCAUCUACAACUCCAUUUAUGGCACAAAACGUCAACAUGUUUCUCAUUUAUAGAGCCCAUAUGAAAUUAUAUCUUUGUGACAUGCUAAAAUGCAAACUCCCACUUGUGUAUCAUUACAUAUUUGGAAUAACCAGAAAAUAGUGCAUUGCGUGAUCAUUCAUUGCUAUCAUAUAAAAAAAUAUUGUUCCAUUGCCUAAUAAACCCUACAGUUUUUUGUUGAAUAUAACUUCAUAAAAGGGAAGUAAGGUAUUAAAAUGACCAAAUAACCCUAAACACGAGUAACUUAUAUUGGAUGGAAAACUUAACGAAGUUAGGGAGAGAUAACAAAUUAAUGAUUUCAUUAAGUUGAUAUGACAAAUUGCUUAAAAUUUUAGUUUAUAUGACAAAUUACAAAAUCCGUACAAGUUCAUAUGAUAUUUCAAAAAAUUUCCUUACUUUCAAAGAGUUUUAUGAUAGAAUGCCAACUUCCUUCAUGGUAUCAAAAUAAAUUAAUCUAUGUGUGAAUCUUGGCAACCACACGUAUUUCACAUCAGUUAAUUUGUUCAUUGUUAGGUCCCCGUUAAUACCUUGACCACAAUCAGUGAUAUAUUAGCAGAUUAAAUAACAAUUAUUAGUGAGUGAUUAGUUAUAGCCAGCUGACAGUUUGUUUGAGUGGAGAGUUAUAUAUGAGCUCAUGCUCUGGAGGUAAAAGCUAAGAACAAAUUUUACAAAACGAAAUCAAAAUACAAAAAAAUAUUGGAGCACUGCUCCUUCUCUUCCCUCCUUCCCCCCUUCCCCCUUCUUCCCUAUCUCUCAGUGUUACUUGCAUGUUGAAUAGGGAAUUGAGAAUUGGAUUUUAUCAUUCAUGCUUUCAACAUAAUAAAUUUUAGUUGAAACCAUAAUUUUUGUGCGUUUAGAAUGUGUUGUCCAUUCCAAAUGUACCAUGUGGUGUUCGAAGUUUUCUAUUUGAUUUAUGUUUUUGGACUACCAGUAUUUGUACAAGGCUAUAUUAUUAUUGUUGGAUACCACUAUUUAUCACACUAUAUACGAGAUAUGUUUUAUGAAAGAUUUUAUGGCAUGCUAAGGUUUUCUGAAAACCUAUUACAUAUUAUACUAUUAAGUUUUCAUAAAACUUUGGAGGUUAGUAUGUUGAAUAACUGUUUCAAUAUUAUAUAUAUAUAUAUAUUAUAUAUAUAUAUAUAUAUCAACUUGGUCCACUCAUAUUUGUAUUGCACCCCCUCAGAACUUAGAUUCGAGGCGUACAAUCUUGGCGUCAAGGUACUCCCGCAUCAGCAUCUUCGAGUCCUCUCAGUGUAUGACUCACCUCUUUGUUCAUUCAAUUUCAUAUUAUUCCUUGUUAGUGUUUAGGAUUAGUUGUAUGCUUUGAACACAUUCCUCAUUUGCAUAAUCAUUGUAUUUAAAUUCAUAACUUUUAUUUACAUUCGUUGUUCUCAUGCAUCCUAAUAUGGCCUCGUCACCUUCGGGUGUCAGUCAGUACGUGCCUACCCUGGUAUUCAGGGAAUAUCAGGGUCGGGCGUGUCAAGUAAUGACUUUAUAUUCAGUUUCAAUAGAGAAUUGAGAAAUUGUGUUCUGUUUAUUGGAAGACCAAGAGAUAGGAUUAUACCCCAAGAAAACUACAAGUCCAGUUGUUGACCUUCUGUCAUUAGGGUCUCUAGCCCAAUCGGCAUCACUAAAUGCAUGUAAAUCUAAGACACCUUUAACAAAUUGAAUACCAUAGUUCUGUGUACCCUACAAAUACCUAAGUAUCCUUUUUACAGCGAGAAAGUGAGACUCCAUUGGACAAUGCAUGAACUGACAGACUAGAUGCAUUGAGAAUGCAAUAUUUGUUCUAGUAAAGGUAAGGUACUGAAGUGCCCCUACAAUACUUCUGUAUAAUUCAAGAUUGUUCCCAUCAUCUUUGAGCAAUAUGUUAUAUGACACAUUUCUGUUUUUGUAAGUAAAUCAGACACGUACUUAGCUUGAGAAAGAAACAACCCCUCUUGAUUCUAAGUAAUCUAAAUGCCAAGAAAGUGUCCCCAAGUCUUUAAUAUCAAAUUCCUUAGUCUAGGCAGCAAUGACCAGGUUGCUAAGACUGUUAUAAGGUUGUUGAGUAACAGAAAUAUCUUCAAUUGUUUUUUGUAAUGACCACACAACAAUUUUGCAUUGUAGGUAAAAAGCUCAAUUCAAUAAAUCAAAUAUUGUAACAAAUCACGUGACAUGACAAACAAUUAAUAGAUAGUUUGACUAAUUUAUAAUCACAUGGCAUCUAAAAUUAUGCAUUAGUUUUAGAGAAAUUCCUCCAUAAAACUACUAAAUGUUGGGGCCACAUAUUUGCCCCAAAUUCAUGUGGACAAGCUAUUCAUGAUCCAGCUGGUUGAUGAAGUUGAGAGUAUGAACUUUAUACCGAAAAAUUAAAGUCUCACUUCUUGGAUAUUUUUAUUCAUUGUUAAUCAAUUUUUAGUUGGAUGGCCACAUAAAAGUUUAGUUUGUAACAAGUUUAGCAAAUCUCGGCCCUUCAACAACUAGGAUAUUUUUUUCUUUCAGAAAAGAAAACAACUGAAGAGCAUCAAAUUAAUCUCUUCAUUUUACAUUCUCCCUUCCGGUAGCGAUUCACAUGCCUUGCACUUAUGUUCUAGUUGUUUAUUCCUUGCUCAGUAGGAUAAUAAUGUAUUAUAAACUAGCUAGGGUAAUUCUAUUUGUACCCAUUGCACGUAAGAAAUCGAAAUCAAAUCAACUUCAUGCAUGAAGCAUCGAUUUCAUGUACUCGUCAAGAGAUGGAAGGCGCUGGUUGUCGUCGUAGCUAUACAUCAAUGGCACCAUUCUUGCGAGAUUUAGGGAAGCCUUUGUGAAUGCCGCGGGAAGUGGAUUAGGAGACACCAAUUCUUUGUUCAGCUUCUUCCAUUCUUCUGAAAUCAUAUUUGUAACAUGUUCUUGUGCUUCCUCCAUAGUCUUGCCUUGAUGUUCAUUUAAAUACAACUUUACAUAUGACCCGUCGUCCCCAUCUUGAUUCUCAUCCUACAAUCAGUACGACGAUAAGAAAAUCUGACGUGCUCUAUGUGCAUAUAUAUACAUGCAUGCUACAAAUUUUGAUGGACAAAUAUAUAUAUAGCUUUUGUGUGAUGGAGUCGGCCAAGACAUCGACCACACAUGAUAUAGAACCUCAUAAGCAGGGAUGAAUAGGCAUUUAGUUACUAGGGUGCUUGAUAUAAAUGAUACUACAAAUAUGUAGUUACCUUGGCACUUCCCAAGUCGUCCCAAAGCCGAAGAAUUGCUGCCGUUGAAGAUAUAAUGGCUGGAGUGCCAUUCAAGAACUCCACACUUUGAUUGGUUAUACCUUCACCCAACAGAAAGAAAAUGUGGACCAUCACCACAUUCACCCCAGAAGAAAUAAUUCCAUUCUUCAAGUACUCUUCAGCCCUAGGCAAGUGCCCAGAUUUGAACCAUUUUGCUUCCACUAAAAAUGCAUUGCACAGACUAGCCCACUGCACGCAAACAAAUAGAAUGAAUUAAGCUAUAAUUAAGCCUUUCUUAAUAUGCUAGUAAAUAAUUGUCACGACAUUAAUCCAGUUAGAUAGAUAUACUUAAUAAUAAGGCAAUACUACAGUUUACAUAUAUAUAUAUAUACCGUCUUCUUUAGCGAAUGCAACGGGUUCCAUCCGUGCCUUUGAUAGACCUUACAGCUGAUUUCAUUCGUCAUAUCGUAAAGAGCCUUGAAGCAUAUCUUCAUGUAGUCCGGUAAGUGCUCUAUAGAACCAAUUUCCCAUCUGUAGCAUAAUAAUGUUCUUGUCAGUUCACUGUGAAAAGUAGUGAAAUUAAUUAAGAAGUUACGGGAUGUUUUAAUUAUUGCUACCUAUUGACAACCUCCGUGAAAAGAGUGAGUUCAUCAAGUGUUCCGUAAACGUCAAAAAUGUCAUCAAUCAAAUAGAUAAAUGAGAUAGGUUUUGUGAGCUCAAUCCUCUCAUCUGACAAGUUUGGAUUUGUUAGGCAAGCCAUGGACCAAAUGUACCAUUUAAUAGGUUGGUCUCUUGCAAACUUCAACUCCUUACACAAUCCCAGCUCUUUCCACCAUCUAAUUAAGUUAAUUGAAACAAAUAAACAUUGAUUAGCAACUGGUUAAUUUAUUAAAUAUAGAGACAACAAUUGAAGAUUAAGGUGCUAUUUUCCAAUAAAGUUACUUACUUGGAAACUUGAGCAACUUCUUUCUGGUGAAGGGACUGGACCAUAUUUAAAUCUGUUUUUGCUACAGUUUGUAAUAUAUUUAGCCAUCUAUUAUUUGUUCCUUGGAAGCUAGAGACAAAAAAGUUCUUGGCCAUGAAUGGGGCCAAGCUUUUGUGAUGAGGAUUUCUCAAUGUGUUUCCAACAACUCUGGCCUGGUGAUGAUCGAGAUGUGACAGGGAUGAAUUUAGGAAAUGGCCACUAAACUUUCCAGCUUCUUGAAGUACAACUUCACCCUCUAUACUUAGCUGUGAAGCUUCAUACAAACUCAUCAACCCCUUGAUGUCUUCCCUUAACAUUUGAUUGAAAUUUCCUUCUCUGUUCUUGAAGUUGUUAAACACAUCUAUAUUCACACGAUAAACACACUAGUUAUCAAAAUAUCGAAAUUGUAUUGAGUCAAUUUACUGGUACCGAAUACCAAUCUAUAUUACUGAAUUAUAGUUAAUACUCACCAUCAGAGACGAAGUAACCAUGCUGCCUGAGUAGUCGAAAGCGGAGAGCGACUUCAUAUAGGUCGGUGGGAUGGUGAGCACCAUGAGCAGUAGUGCUAGAUAUUAUAUGUUGCUUUUGGAGAAUUUGGUCAAUUUCUUCUUCAAAGUGGUAGUCUAGACCUAGCCGUUGAACCGCAUCGAUAAUGUCCAAACUUUCAACUGCUUCUCCUCCCACUUUUUUCAAUGCAUGCCUUAAGUCGUCCAGUUUUUGUUCAUUCUGGAAACAAAUUAUGCCAUCCUGCGGACAAGGAAUUGAAGAGAGUCGAUUUUCAACCAUGUAUGUGCAUGUGUGUGUGUGUGAGAGAGAGAGAGAGAGAGAGAGAGAUGAUUUUUCUUACCUUAGAUGAAGUAUACUUCGUUUUGGAGUCAAGCGGUUUUAAGGGAGUAGAAAGCAAACUGUGAUCUUCGGGGAUGCUCCAUUUUUGAGAACUAAGGUGUUCCGGAGCAACUGGAGUAGAAGACGAGGUCGCAAGGGAGGACUGGGAAAUAGAAAAUUCCAUAUUUCUGUAUGUCUAAUCAACUCCCAGAGUAGUAGAAGGCGAAUAGAGAAAAUAAGAUGUUUUUCGCUCUUCUUGAUCUCUCAAUUUAUAAUCGCCAUGAAAAUCGAUUUUCGCUAUACUUCGAGAGCUAGCACACUUUGCACGUUGAUUUAGAGUUUUUUUAUUUGCGCUUUUGUUUUUUUUGGUUUUUUUUUGGGUUGAAAAAUCAGACGUAGCAAGGGUCCAAGAAAGAAUCAAAUCAAGUGUACAAAACGUGAAAGUCGUGCUAUUCGGGAACUGGAAAGCAGAUUCCUAUUAUUAUGGAACUACUUUUGAUUCCUUAAUACUUAGGUACUGAUCACUAAUAUUUUAUGUACUCAUUUUUUUAUUUGACCUAAUAAAAAAAUAUCACUUGUUUUUUGUUUUUCAAAAUAAAAUAAAAAUAAUAAUGGACAUGGCAUUAUUUUUUAAUCACUAAAACAGUAUACCCAAGUAUUAUCCAAGCAUGUCUCAAACCCUAUAAAGGCAUCAAUAUUGAUGGAAGCCUUCAAACACAUUUUCUAAAUAAAUGAAUAAUGCUCAGAUCUAGAACCUUUUGGUUCGGCAAACUUGUGCGGAUCUCAACUCUAUCUAUCUUUUCUUUAAGUUUUCAGGUAAAAAUUUCCAACAAAACAGAAAGCCUUAAUGUCCUUGUGCAACAUUGCGUAGUUUAUUAUAUACUAUAUACUAUUUAGUGAACUCUUUUGGUUGAAUAUAAUUUAGUGAGUUCGACAGAAGCAAGUCAACAACACCUAAUUAUGACCAAACUAUUGUUUAUUACAUUUUUUUUUGGUCACAUGUCAAUUGUCCUCUUGUAAAAUUAGUAUUGAAAGCAUUUUAUAUUUUGCCAAACAAAUAGAUUCAACAAAUAUUAGAUGGCAAGUGAAGUAAUUUUUGUAUACCAUUUUUUUCAUACAUUCUUUAUUUCAGUUUCUUAAAACAUACAAUGUCUCGUGUUUCAUAUGAGUUCACAUUUGUGUGUGAGACAUUACAUUUUUUUUUCUUUCAUACUUUGUUUCAGGUUUUUUAAACAUACAGUGCCUUGUGUUUCAUAUGAGUUUACAUUUGUGUGUGAGACAUUACAUAUUUUUUAGACGACGUGUUACAUGUGCGAUAUAAUUGAUGUGUCGUGCUACUCUGUUUUCUGACUAUGUUGGUUUGCUUGGUUAUCGCUUCUCAAAUUAAUGUGCAUGUCGGUAUCCAGGUUUGUCUCACUUUCUUCUUCUUUUUUUCUCAUAUCUUUAUGGUGUUGUUUGACUUGUUUUGCAGGUUUAGACCUUUAUGUUUGGCUCUAGAGGGGUUAGGUUUCAUGUCCCCCCCUCUUUUCUUUGUUUCAUUCUCAUUUUUUGUUUCUAUAAGGGUAAGGUUUAUGUCCCCCCUUCUUUCUAGUGUAUUCCUUUUUGUUGUCUCUGUUUUUUGGAGGGGUAAGGUGUAUGUCCCCCCCUGACUAGGUGUAACUUGUUUUUUCGUUAUCAAUAAAAUUACCCUCGUACCGUCGAGGUUUUCCAAAAAAAAAAAGGAUAAUUUUUAAUAGAAAUAUUAGGAAAAUCCAAUUUUAGUUUACUACAUUGUCCCACGUCUCUUCAAUAAAAGUGUGAUCUCGUGGUGUACCCUAGCAUAAAUAUUUUCUUUUGGAACAAACGAUAUUGACUACUUUAAGGGGGAGAGGGGGGAGGUGGGCUUAGCCUCGCAAUGGACUAGCGAUAAUGUGGUUCAAAUUCUCCUUUGGCGAGAAUCGGACCUAAAAUCUCUCAUUUACAAGUGAAGAGAAAAAUCACUAAAUUGCAGUAUUAAUUGGUCUCCUAGCAUAAAUUUUUAAGCAUUAAUGUAAUGCACAUAAAUAUGGUAUCUCUAGCAUCACUCGAUCUCAUUUUUGAUCCACUUGUCGUAAUAGUAAAUGACAUGAUAUAACUUGUAUAACCCAUAUCCAAUUGUGACCGUGGAUAAUACAAGUUUGGUUGAUAAUACUGAAAUCAAGGGAUUUUCCCCAAUGAUUGGGUUAAUAAUGUUGAACAAUGUAAAAAGUCUCAUUUCGAAAACUUGAUAAAAUUAAAUACAACUUGCAUUGAGGUCUUCUGUGAUAAAACUUUAGACUUAUUAGAUUGCAUAAUAGUUAAGUGAAGAUGUGAAAUCCCGUCCCUGGAUUUCACUAUUUAAAAUUAUGUAUUUUGUAUUCUUAGUUCUGAUGCGUUUAUAAUUAUGGCAUGUAGUUUUUUUUUUUAUAAGUAAAAGGAAAAAAACGCCCUUAAUGAACUAAACGGACCAAUCAGGAUGAGAAGAAAUGAGGGAAAUGAGGGAAAAAAGAAGGAGGGAACCCAGACACCCCUUCGACCCACGACCCGACUACCGACUGCCGAUUUUCCAGUGAAUUGCGACGAGGCAACACUUGAGAACCCAUCCACAAUCUCUUAUUUUCCAUUUUCACUUCAAAAUUGAAGGAAUUUGGCCUCGAUUGCUUCUAGAACAUGCCGACGGGCUCCGUGGGGUGCAUAACAACAAUCUACCUUUCCUGCAUGAAUCACCGUCAAACACCACCAUCAAUCAACUCCUCUUGGGCCCAGGAACAAACCCCAAAAAAGUUUGGGGGUGGUGGAGCACCGGAGAAGACAAAUCAAAGUGCACCCAUUUCAGGGGUUUUCGGCAGAUAGAGGCGAUUUCAGGCAUCUUCCCGCCCGAAUUGGACUUCAUCCCAGGUAUGAAAAAUGUUUCCCUCAUUGAGCUCUACAUAUUUGUAAAAUUUGGUAAUUUUUGGAGUUAGGUGAAUUUUCCAAUGAGUCGGGGCGGCGGCGUGUGGCCCAAGGACCCACUUGACCCUUUUAGGCUAAAUUUGAUACACCGAUUCCAUAUGUAACAUCUGAUGGAUGAAAUCCCAUCAUUCGAACAUAGUUUCGUUAGGGUCUGCCUCUUGAUCAUUAUAACCAUCGAUGAUCCGACCGUUGAAUUGUCACCAAACUUUAAUAUAUUAUAGCACGUAAUAUUUAAGGACAUUAGAAACUGAUGGAUCAGGAAUCCGACAUACAGAUCUUGAUGAAUUGAAUUUUUAAGUUUGUAAAACUAAUUGUUAACUGCCACCUAAUUCUAGCAAUUGGCAGAGAUCCAACCGUUGAAUCGUUCCAAAAUUUUAGGAUAUUGUUCUAGAAGAUAAAUGAGACUCUUGAGAAAUUACGGAUCAAAAAUUUGUGAGUGGAUAUUUCGGAUCGAAUUACGUAGGGUUGUGGACCCCAUCAUUAACUGAGAGUUGACUUUGGGUCAACAUGUCUCGAAUCAUUUUAAAUACUAAAAUUAGUACUAUUAGGGACUAAGUGAAGUCUAGUGGGUCUACAUUGGUUAGUGAGUGACUUUAAUAAAUGUGAUAUGGUUAUUACCUUGGUUUCGUAUUUAAUAUCCUUUGUGGAUAUAACUUGGUUUAUUAAAUAUGAUUUCUAUUAAAAUGUAUUUUUAUAUUUGGCCAUCGAUCUGUUGUUAUGAAAUGUGAUUCGUGGAUUGGAAAUAUUUGUGAAAUGUGAUUUGAAAUACAUGUUGAAUUGUUUAUGAAAUGCGAGGGCUAGUAGUGGACCUUUAACCUAUUGUCAUGGGGAUUUGUUUGCUUCGAUAUUGUUUCAUUUACCGCUUUGUUGACCCGUUCUAAAUUUGGUACUUGUGCUUUGUUUCAUUUCAUUAAGCCUUUGUAAAUUGAGUAAAUUGAUUCAUGUUUUGUUUCUUCGAGCUGUUGUUAUGUUUCUUGAACUUCCGCUUGGUUCCGUUGAGUGGUCUGGAAUUGGGUUUCACUGGGGUUCUGUUGAGUGGUUUGGUUCCUUGCUCUGUUUGGAUUUCGUUGAGUGGUCCGGAAUCCCUCGUGCUCCGCGAUUCCGUUGAGUGGUUCAGAAUCGUAUCCUGCUUUGGAUUUCAUUGAGUGGUCCGAUAUCCAUUGUACUCCACAAUUCCGCUGAGUGAUCCGGAAUCGUAUCCACUCGUAUUCCGUUAAGAGGUCCGGAAUCCCUUCUACUCCACAAUUCCAUUGAGUGGUCCAGAAUCGUAUCCUGGUUUGGAUUCUGUUAAGUGGUCCGGAAUCCCACUUGGUAUUUUGGUUCCAUUGAGUGGUCUGAAACCCGAUGUUGUUGGAUUUCGUUGAGUGGUCUGAAAUUACAUUCUUCAUAGAUGUAGGCUUCGACCGAACUAUAUCACUCUAGCCUUCAUUUUGGUGUAUUGGAUGAGUUAAAUUGACGUGAUUGUGGAAUGAUAUUGGAAAUCAUAUGUGUGUGUGUGAAUGGCAAGAUGACAACUCUUGUUUGGCUUAUGGUUGAUGUGUAGUGUGGUACCCUAUGUUUUCUACUAGGAAGUGUUUUAUGAAAAGUUCAGAGUUUAACAAAUGGUGAACUACGAAUGGCUUGGUUCCGUUGGAGGGUACUUAGGCAGUCUAACAAAGAGGUUAGAUGCAGCCAUAGAGUAAACGAAAAAUCACUACACAAUUCGAAGUUUGAGUUGUGCUUUGUCUGUACCCCAAAGGCGAGGUAUGUUAAAUAUAUGGGUAUUUGGUGACGUCACGUGUCGAUCCUGGACGUACGUCGGGAUUAGGGCGUGAGAGAAGACAAUAUCAAUAAUAGUUCACUUAUGUCAUAGGAGUAAUCUUAUACUUGUGUCACAUGGUCAGUGAUAAGUGGACAUGACAAAAAUCAUGUAAAGUGUCACAAAAAUUAAAUUUCGAGUUAAAUGGAAAAAUUUGACACUGAAGAAAAAAAAUAUAUUAAAAUCAAAUUUAAGGAGGCAUAGAAACAAUAGGAAUGUUUUAAUGUCCUUUAAAACUCAGUCAAUACAGUUACACCAUCAUUUAUCAUUUUUCUUUCUUCUUUGUUCCGUAACUUCAUUUCUACUGAGAAAAUGCUCCAUUUUGAUGACUCUUUUUUUUCCAUUCUUUGUGUACUCUCCCUUACGUUUUGUCUAGUUAAAAGAGAUUAUUAAAGAUGGAAGAUCAUUAGCACUUUAGUUAGCAAGUUAUCUAGGGUGGUUGUUCAUUAGCGGAUUCCCCUUGUGUUCAUUAGCUGAAAGGAUAAUAUAUAAGAUGGAUAAUAUAUGAAAGUAUAUAUACACUCAGUCAUGGAGGAAUACUGAAAGUCAAAUUGGAUAUAGAAGAUGAUAAAUUAAGUGAGCUGAACUACACAUAAAUGUAUGAUCAUUGAAUUACAUUUGUAGUCUUACUCUCCUCCAUUAAAGCGAGUAAAAUGAAAUUUCCUAACAGUUUACUUUAAAGUACUAAAGUUCUUGAGCAGCAGCAUAUAAACUGUUUAAUUCGUGACCUUCAUGAAAAAGGAAACGAAGGGUGCGAAGAAAUAUCGUGAUCAAAUAUAUACCACAACUUUGUUAAGUACUACCAAACAUAAAUUUUGACGUUUCACUAUUUAGAACGGUUGGGAAUGACACAUAAUAUUAAUGUAUGUGGUCUUCAGACAUUAUCACGAUGUAUGAGUACGAGACUCAUGUGGAACCUUAACUCUAUGUGGCCACUUAGCCCCACUUCCCACAAAGGCUUUGUGGGAAGAAAUAUUGUGAUCAAAUAUAUACCACAACUUUGUUAAGUACUACCAUACCUAGAUUUGGAACUUUCACUACAAGAAAAAUGGAUAAGGAACACAAUUGAUUUGUUGUUGUAAUAUAAUAUAUGGAUGACCCACAUAAAUAGUUUGUUACUAUUCAUCCAUAGAAAAAUCAGAUGAAUUAUAAUUCAUAUGAAGAAAAACGGAUGGGUUACUGAUAGGGAUUUUACUACACACGUAAACAAGCUAAAAACUCCUAUAAUACUUGCAAGAAUGACAAGGUUAUUGUAGUAUAAACGGAUCUCGCAAGGUCGUUCUCCACAGGGAUUAUUAAGUACUUCGAAGCAAACCAAAUUCCAAUUAAUUAUUGUAAAGUAGAAAUUGAGAUGAUUGAUUUCAUAAACUACUUAAAUUAAAAAAAAAAUUAAAUUAAUACAAGUAAACUAAUUUGCAAUAUUAAAGAUGAAAGAAAAGGAACCAGUUUUGGAGAAAUCAAAUUAAGAAAGCACUAGGGUUCCACCAUCACCUAGCAAUCCUAUGAACUUUUACCAAUUACUUAUGAUCUACACAUGCCACUUUGAAGAUUAGAUUUUCCUAAUUCAUAUUCUACUUGGAACCUCCAACAUAGAACGUAUAUCAAACAUGCAACCCGUCCGGACGUUCGGAUCAAAUCUGAACAUGAAAGACUCAUUAUGUUUUAUGAAAACCCUUUGAAAAACCAAGCAAUCCUUAAGACGUGGUGUUCAUCCUAAGUGAAAUUACAAUUAUUAAUCACAAGAAGUCAUCGUCAAUUUCAGGGAAUCUUCCGACCAAAAUUGCAUCAAAUUACUUUUCUAAAGAUCCUAAUGGUGAUCAGGCAUUAAGACAAUUAGAUAAUUUUAAUCCCGGUGAUUAAUAAUUCAAAGUGUGCAUGCAAUCAAUCAUAAGCAAUUAAAUAAAAAUCACAUAUUCAUGCUAAGGCUCAAGGCUUCGCCCUAGCAAAAGGAAUUAGUUACACAUAUUCAUAAUUAAAAUCAUAGAAAAUAUUAUUAAGAAAAUGAUUGAAAACACCUUAAAGUAGAAAAUCUCCAAGAACCUUAGCAAAGUUCUUUGUCUCUGAAGUUGAAUAAUAAUUAGCGUCGAGAAAAACUGUAGACGGCAAAGCAAUAUAUCUACUAAGCCAUCCACAAACCCUAAAACAUAGGUCUCUUAUUCCAAUUAGGAAACUAAGAAAAAUAAUAAAAUAUCUUAGAAAAUAAAACCCUAAUUAAACUAGGAGAAUCUGCCAAGUACUUAUCUAGCCACGUUUUAGCCUCAUAUCUCCUCCAAAUCCGGCCCAAGAUAACUUGUUUUAAAGAUUAGGAAGUUCUGAACACAUCUCCCAAAGGCCAAGAAACCAUCCGAGGUCAUCUUGGGCUCCAAAAACGCAAUUUAAACCCAUAAACGUCAUUUUUCAGCAGCGCACAUCGCUCCUUUAUUUUAUCGCCAGAAAAUAACCGCUUGGUGGAAAAAUACCAAAUUUUGAUAUGAUCAAGCUAAGUGACUCUAGAACGUCCUCCAAUUGGAAUUACUCCAAAAUUCGUCCAUUUGACCACGUUUUGCUUCAGAUGAAAUCGAAAGUCCUAUAUUAGAAAUACAAUUCAAAGUAUCAAAAUAUUAACCAAAAUAUACUAAGAAUAUGGUUAAAUAUAUAAUAUAAAAUCUACUCAUCAGUUACUACCAAACCUAGAUUUGGAACUUUCACUACAAGAAAAAUGGACAAGGAACACAAUUGAUUUGUUGGUGUAAUAUAAUAUAUGGAUGGUCCACAUAAAUAGUUCGCUGCUAUUCAUCCAAAGAAAAAUCAGAUGAAUUAUUAUUCAUAUGAAGAAAAACGGAUGAGUUACUAUUCAUGCAUAGUAUUUCACUAUUCAUUUGGCGAAAGUUUGUAAAGUGAAUAGUGUUAUAGUAAUUUUUUGCCUAUAAGAUGAGAGCAACCGAAGGAAGGAAGAAGUGAGAAGAAGAAGAAAGAGAUGAGAGAAAAACAUAUAGAGGAAAGAAAGAGGAGUUAUGGAGAAAAAUAAAGAGAAGAGGAAAAAAGAGAGAUGCAGAAGAAAUUACCAGUGAGUUAGGCUAGAGAGAAAAGAGAAAAUAGUGAGAAUUAUUUUGUACUCCUAUUAUUUCAGAUAAUGAAAUAAAAUAUUACUGCUGCCCCGAGAACUUAGACACACUUGCCGAAUCUCGUAAAUAUUAUGUCUUAUUUAUUUUAUUCCACUAUACACAUACUGUCAAUUUUACAACAUUUAUAUCUUUUUUUUAAAUUUUAUUGAACAUUAUACUAUCUCAAAUGUGCCCCUCUGAACAAAAAGUACAUUAGUUAGUGCCCAAAAAGAAAAAAAUGAUGUAUUUGUGCCAAUGAAAAUUUGAGCACAGUAGUUCGCAUCAAUAUUUAAGGCACAAAUAUGCUGUCAAUAGUGCCCUACUCUUUGCGAACAAAAUGCCAUAGUGUGUCCUAUGAUCAAGAAGCACGCCCAUAAAGAGCACAUAAAACAUUUUAGUUGCUACAUUAUUGAUUGCUAUUGACACAAGAGCAAGUCCACCUCUAAGGAUUUUGUGCUAGCACCCAGCGCAUUUAUCCAUUCAAGUGAACAGUAAUAGACCCUAGGGAACAGUAAUAGGCCAAAGCAUCUCCACCCCUAACAAAAAAUAGCCUUGUCCAUUUUAUUAAAAUAUUAUUAUUAUUUAUUAUAAAAUAAUAAUUUUAUUUUUAAUUUCUGAAUUUAUAAAAAAUAAAAUAAUAAUAAUAAUAAUAUCUAAAUUUAUUAAAAAAUUUCUGUAUUUUUUAAAAGUGAAAUUCUUAAUUUUUUGGGAGAAAAAAUGUGGACAGUUGAUCUGUGAUCGGACGGUCAAGUUUAAAAGUAAAAUUUAAUUUUUUUUUUUUACCGUUGGAAAUCCAACGGUCUAGAAUAACUAGCCAUUGGAAAUCCAAUGGCUAUGAGCAUGCCACAUCACUAAUGGGGCUCCGGAGCACAAGUGGGUUGACAGCCCUCUGCAACCUUGUCGCCUACUCGUGGCCACGCGCGAUUGUCGUGCACGCGCCAGCCAAAUAGGCCGGCUUCUUACUCAGUCAAAUUUGGGCUAGCUUGGAGACCAGCUUGGGCUGCGUCCCAGGCAAAAGGGUCGGCUGGAGUGGAUUGACAGGCUCCCAGCCUGAUUUUUAUAUUUUGUGCUAGGCAAAUUCCACUCCGGUGGACUUGCUCUAAGGGCACAUAUGUUAGUGUCCUUAAGCCUCAUGGCACAAAUAACUUUUUUGUGCUGGCCAUAUUUUUUUUUUGUAGUGUUUGAAUAUUUAGUACUGUAGGGAAUGACACAUCAUAUUUAUAUAUCUGGGACAGGGAUUGUUUGCCCUCCUUGUUCUCGUGCCCUCUCAUAUCCUCCUGUUUGUGUGGUCACAGUUAAGUCAUGUCAACAUUUUAUAUUACUAUUCAUUUUUGUCUUAUUAUCUCUAUAAAAAAAAAUAUAAAAUGUUGAUAUGGUUUAACCAUGAUCACACAAAACAGGAGGAUACAGAAACAAAGAGAGCAGAGAAUCCUUGUCCAUUUAUCUGUGAUCUUCAAACAUUAUCAUGAUGCAUGUGUACGAGAAUCACGUGGACCCUAAUUCUAUGUGGCCACUGGCCACUUAGCCCCACUUCGCACACAACCGGAAAAUCGGCAAGACUUUCAACAAAAACGUGUGUGUGUGUGUGUUUUCUUUUAAUUGAAUGGUUAGUGACUACUUAUCGUACGAAGAAUAGCAACCCUAAACCUUAACUUUCUCACGUGGACCCUAAUUCUAUGUAGCCACUUAGCCCCACUUCUGACACACCCAGAAAAUCGGCAAGACUUUCAACAAAAACGAGUGGUUAGUGACUUUCAUCGUGUUUUUUCUUUUCUUAAUUGAAUGGUUAGUGACUACUUAUCGUACGAAGAACAACAACCCUAAACCUUAACUUUGUGAACCUUUCAUUGUUUUUGUUAGACAUUGAUGAUUAUGAGCCCCGUGAGUGAAAGCUACAUUGAUAUCCCAUUCCAUGCAUCUUCCUUUUUCACAUUCGUACGUAGUACUUGCAGACUUUUCAUCACCAUACAGCUCUAUAAAACAUCACCAGAAAAUUAAACAAAAUUAUAAAAGUGAUUAGAGAAACUAAACUUUACAAGUUAUAUGUGAACUAUUUAAUAUAAAUAAAGCUCACCAAUAUAAGUAGAUCCUACCUGAUCUACACGUUGUCUAUAAAAUAGAGUAUUCCAAGCAUUUUUUUAAAUUUAAGCUAAAUUUGUGCUUGGGUUUCUGUUGUAUCCAUUUGGCUAGCCAUUUGUCGUAUUCCAAAAAUUAAAUCCCUCCAAGGAAAUCCGGCCGCAGGUGUAGGAGGUGGAUCCGACCCACCAUCGCGGGUCUAGUCGCACUAGAGGGUAUAGCCCGGGUAUGAGACGGAAACCCAUGAAAUCAUGGGUUGUUGCUUGCAAAAUGGUGGGGAGGAAAGGAAAAUAUGGGCGCCGUCUGUUUACGCCAGAGAGAGGGAGAGGGAAAAGGUAAAAAGUAAAAAAGGAAAUAUGAGCACCAUCACAUUAUGUGGUGUACUAAGACCACCUUCAAACCCGGGCUAAAUGCCAAAUGUUUAUCGGAAUUUAAAUCUUUUUAGAUUAAAAUGUUCAUAAAAUUAAUUUACAAUAAUCUACAUAUUUAUUUUUUUAAAAUUGAUUUAAGAAAAAAAUUAGUCUAAGUUCAUUCUUUAAUAAUUCCGAGCUAAGAUUUUAGGGCAGAAGAGUUGGAGCAGAAAAGAUGUUUUUGGGCUAAAAGCUAAAUUUUCCGGGCUAAAAAAUUUGGCUUUUAGCCCAAGAGUUAGAGAUGGUCUAAUGUACUACAACAAACAAAUAAUUUAUGUAUGUACAAUUCAAAGAAUCAAGUAAUUAAUGGUCCCUCGUUAAAAAAAAAAAAAGGAAGGACAAUAUUAGAGAGAUUAAAUUUAUAAAUCAAAUGAUGUGUCAUCAAUAGAAAAUAAGCAAGUUAAUUGACACUUAACAAUAAUCCAAUAAUAAGUCUUCACAUCAUUUGAUUUACAAAACUUAAUUUAAAAUUUUGAUCUCGCUAUCAUUAAAUUAAAAAAAAAAUACUAAAAGUUGGGGUCACUGCAUGAUCGAGCCGGUUAAUUGUACGUUGAGAGUUUGAAUUUAUUCAUUAUCAACUUGCUUUUUCAUUGACAAAUCACAUCCUAACAUGAUAAUGACUUUGCUCAAAUCAUGGCCAUUCAACAACUAAGAUAUUUUCGGAUCGAAUAGGGAUCCUCUUUGAAUUUUUUUUAUGAGAAUUCUAGAGAUCCUUUAAUUACAUUCGUUCAUCACACAUCGUACGAUCAAUUUUGAUCAAGUAUUGUUUAUAUUUAAUUUUAAAUAAAAAAAUUUACAAUAAUUUCUGACCACACGAUAUACGAUAAACGAAUAUGAUUGAAAAUCGAUAGAAUCCUCAAAAAUAGAAUCCGAAGAAGAUCCUCAUUCUUUUGGAAUCGUGAAAAAAACGAGGAUACUUUAUUUUUCUUGAUCUAACCUUUUCUCUCUUCCGGUCCGGAUCUGGUAGCAAUUUGCAUGCUUUGUACUUAUGUUCUAGUUUUUUUUUUUUUUCCUUCUUUAUUCAACUGAUCAAUUAUUAUAACCAUGAUUAUGAUUACUUAACACUGUUACAAUGUCCACCUUCUUAUUUCUUACCCCCCCCUUCUAUAUUUACACCCCCAAUUAAAAGUAAAAAGAGAGCAAAGUUAUCUCCACACUUACCAUUAUUCCUUAAAUAGCCUAAACAGUCCAAUAUUGUUUUUUCCUUGAAUCCAACCAGUAAUCCCUUCGUUAACCCUACAAGAAAAAUGGGCUAAGAACACAAUUGAUUGGUGCCCUUCUCAUUUUCAUUGAGCACAAAUAUAUAUUUGUGCUUUUUAAAUUCCAUUGAGCACCAAAAUACCUCAAAUGUGCCCUCUAACAUAAAGGCACAUUAGUUUGUGUCGGGUAUUUGUGCCUACUAAAAUUUGAACACCAAACUUUGUGUCCAGCUUGCUUGUCAGGGAUGAAAUUUUUUUUUUAUUAAUUUACACAAACACAAUAAAGGCUUUUGUGCCCUCUAUUUUAAUAUGUUUAAAUAAAAAAAUUAUAUUUUCGUGUCUUUUACAUUUAAUAUUUCCUAUUCCCAACUAUUUUUUUCUUGUUUACAAUUUGUGAAAAUAUCUAGUUGCAAUCAAUUUGAAUUAUUAAUGGUGAUAAAUAUUAUAUUCUAUUUAAAUAAUACUUAUCGUAAUGAACGCGUGGUUACAAACUGAUGUGAAUUCGGAAUUAGAACGAGUAAGUUACGAAUUUUUAAAAUUAGAAGGCAAAAUGGUAAAAUUUUGGGAAGGAGUAUUCUAGAAGCCAAAGCUUCUCCCAUUUUACUUUCCCGACAAGCACAUGUAGCAGGGACCCACCCACGUGGGUCUUCACCCUUCCCACCUAAUUAUAUAUAUAUAUAAUAGUAUUAAAUUAUUAUUUUAUUAAUUUUAUGAUGGAUUUUUGUGCUCCUCCAUCUUUUUUCUAUCCCGGCACAAAUGCAACAAGGACCCACCCACGUGGGUCUUCACCCUUCCCCAUGCUUCUACUCCUCUCUGCACUGCAUCACUCUUCUGUCUCCCUCCUUCACGCAACCCUUUCUCUCACUUUCUCACUUUACUUCUUCAUAAUUUUCUCUGUGAUCUCCUUCACCAUCUCUGUGCUCACUGCACAGAAAACCUCAGCAUCCAUCUCCAUCUAACUAGCCACUCCGGCGAACCUUGCCACCACCCAAACACUACAUGCCACCCUCGCUCUCUCACAAUCUUUUUGUCUCUCCCUCUCGGCUUCUUCCUUGACACAGAGAAGCACAUAAGCAAUGACGGCGGCGGAGCUGGCGAUCUCCGGCGAGGCAACCACCAGCGUCACCUUCCUCUCCUCUCUGCAGACUCCCCUUUACCUUUUGCUUUCUGAAAAUCGAAACCGACGCGAUGAAAUGACAAGGUCCGUCGCGGCUUGACUCCUUGGCGAGAUUUUCCGUCGAAUUCAGUAUGGGUGAGUCUUGAAAACACCUUAGUUAGGUUCUUUAAGUUGUUUAGAGACGCUUUCGUGCACUGCAUGCCUGAUUUGGUUAAGUUUGGAUGCAGUUUCAACUUAGGGGACAAAUUCCCCUGAUUUCCAGCGAGGGCUAUGAUUUUAGGCUAUCACCGGCCACUCAAUGGCCUUGAAGUAGGUAAAUUUCGAAUACUUACCUUUGUAGCUUUGUUUUAGCUUUUGAAUUGUUGAAAAUGGUUGUGUUUUGGACCAAAACGGACUCUGAAACCCCUGGCGUGGCUGCAGGUCGCACUGUCGCUGUGCGUGGAGCUGUUGUGGAUGGCGCGUGGAGCACAGGCGCCUCCACCGGAAGGAUGAUUGCCUGAAAGGAUGAAUAUACGUUUUCAAAUGUUUGUUUUAGAUUGUAGGGUAUUUCGAAUUUGUUAUUUUUUAAAAAAAAAAAUUAAUUGAUAAGGCACAAUUACAAAAAUUGUGCUAACAUGAAUCUGAAAUGGCAUCUGACACAGGUGUCAGAACAGGACACAAAAAAAACCUUAUUUGUGCUCAAUGUUUGAGCACACAUGGCUGUAUCGUGCCCUCUAAUCAAUGGUGACGCCCAUAGAGGGCACAGACCCAAAGAUAGUAGCUGCAUUGUUGCUAUUGGUCUAUGGGCACAAUUGUUGGUGCUUUUUGAUCUCAAAGGGCACAUAUAAUUUAUUAUGCGCAGUGCUCAUUUUUUUUGUAGUGUAAACUCAAUAUUGAAGAAUUUAUUGGUAAGUUCAUCGCUUCUCAAUUUCGCAACCUUUUAAAUCAAUAAACUAAGCCUUCUAGCAUCUAAUUAAAACAAACAAACAAAACCAGAUACAAUUAAUCUUUUGCUCUUUGAAGACCAACUUUAGUAAGCUUUUUUAUGGUUCAUUAAACUCUUAUCUAAUUUUGUCGACCAAAUCACAAAACCCAUCUAAAGAAUACCUAAAUUGGUAUCCGUGCUAUUGCCGACAAAUCCAAAGUUUUAAAGGAAAACUAAUGAAAAAGGCUUGAAAACUUUGAGUUUUAAUGAUAAGGACAAAAUAAAGGGUAAAGUGAAUAGUACCAGGUUUGACUUUUUAGUGUAAAAAUGUGGUUUUUCGUUAAAGUGAACAGUACCUUGGGCUUUUCGUUAAAACUCCCAUAAUAAUUUGUUACAUGUUUCCCACUAUUUGCGUUUAUGCCAUAAAUCGAUUCUUAAAUUCAAGAAUUGCAUAAUAUAUUUGCUCAAUCGAAUUUCUCUUCAAUAUUAAUUGUGAUGUGAGUUUCAAACACCUAAAUGAAGCAGCAACUUAAAUCUUGGGUCUUUUGCUUGAUUUUGAGUUGGGUUGUGAGGAUCGGUGGUGCAUUGGAUAGAGAGAGACGCGGAGUUGCCUACAUCACUCUAGUCCCCAAAAAAAACACGUUCUUUAUAUUUUCUUAUGUCUCCUUCUAAGAAAUUUUGCAAUAAGGUAAGCUUGUCAUUAAAACUUUCAUUAAAAUGUGUGGAAUAAUAGACAAUGAGUGGCGGGACUGAGAUCCUCGCAGAAUGUCUUUUCUGCGGGUUUGAUAGACCCUUAAAUCUUUCUAUCUCUGUUCACUGCCUCCAUCUCCAACCUUCUCUUGGAUUUUGUUAUCAUUAAUUUUAUGGAGUUCUUAAUAGGAAAAAAAAAAUGUAAAUAUAGUUCUUGGGUUUUAAAAUUUUUUUUUUCUUUCAGAACCUAGACAUGAAGAGGCGGGGAAAAAAUCUAAUAGCGUAUCGGUAGCACAUUGCAAUCAAAGGGGAAAAAAUAAAGAGAUUAGAAAGAAAAACAGUGAGUUAUGAGUCUUGAUUACUAGUAUCCAUGGCGUAACAAAAAAAUCUAAUAGCGUAUCGGUAGCACAUUGCAAUCAAAGGGGAAAAAAUAAAGAGAUUAGAAAGAAAAACAGUGAGUUAUGAGUCUUGAUUACUAGUAUCCAUGGCGACGGUGUUACGAAUAGAGAGAGAGAGAGAGAGGAUAAAAUGGGACGGAAGAAAGAAACUAGAAGGGAGUGAGGUUAUUAACUACAUUGAGAAAGAAUCAAAGAACAAUAUGGAAUGUAAGAAAAUGAAAAACUUGAGAGAGAGAGAGAGAGAGAGAGAGAGAGAGAGAGAGAGAGAGAGAGAGAGAGAGAGAGAGAGAGAGAGAGAGAGAGAGAGAGAGAGAGAGUAAAUUGUAUGAAGUGUAUUUCAGACUUAAUGAAAUGGAUCAUCACAAUUACAGAAUUUUUGUACACACAUACAUCUAGCUUAAAGCUUCAUUCUUACACUUCUAACGACUAACUAAUCUUUUUAACAACUUAAUUAACAACUUUAGUAUGACAUGACAGCCUCAUUAACUAACCAAUGUUGAGCUGUCAUUUAUUAACACUCAACAAAGGCAACCUUGUUUCGUGUAAAAAAUAAAUAAAAAAUUUCUGGUUGUUUGAUCUGUGUGAACGGCCAAGAUUCAAGGAUCUGUCAUAUCCUCAUAAUUAAAGAGACGUGGAGAUGAUCCGGGUCUGGGGUGGGCAUAAUUAUGAUUAUUUGGUUUAUAAAUAAAAAAAAAAGAGUUAAUUUGACGGAUUUGGAUCCUCUCUGGAUCCAAAGGAUUUGAGCUUGAAUUUAUUCAUUAUCAACUUGCUUUUUCAUUGAUAAAUAAAAUAAAAGUUAUAAUAAUUGUAGUCGUUUGAUCAAAUUGGGAUUUGGAUCCUCUUCGGAUCCAAAGGAUCUGAGCUUGCAGAUCAAGUGAUAUGGGCCGUCCAAAUUUGAUCAAACGACUACAAUUAUUAUAACUUUUAGAGGGGCCCCCUGUUUGUAGCCGUUUGAUCAAAUUUUGACGGCCCAAAUCACUUGAUCCGCAAGCUCAGAUCAAGUGGAUCUGAAGAGGAUCCAAAUCCCAAUUUGACCACCUUUGAACUUUCCAAGUCAUCCCCUAGCCGUAGAAUGGUUGCCACCAAAAUAUUUCGCCUAAAGUAGUGUUGCACAUGUUGAAUAUUUGUUGGAUCGAAAAUAAUGCCUCUAGAAUUUCAUACAAUUUUUUUUUUUGUUGAACGAUGUUAUUUUCUCUAAGGGAAAGGGGAUAGGCUUAAUCUCACAAUGAACUAGCAAGAAUGUGGUUCAAAUUCGCAUUUGACGAGGAUCAAACCUAAGACCUUUCACUUACAAGUGAAAAAAAAUACCACUAAACUGUAGUACUAAAUAGCUAAAUUAAAAAAUAUAUUAAAAAAAAACCCUCAAUUGCAGCCAAUGUGUCAUAAAAGUAGUUUUACAAUUACUUUAGUUAAAAUAAGGUUUUCAAUUGCAUUGUUCAAAUGAACAGUUACUUGACGUGGAUUUUGAGCUAUUUACAAAAUUGCCACCACCUCUUCAGUUUCAGAUUGGAAAUUUUGGUUAUUUACGAAAUUGCCAACCCUUCAACUGUGCACGUAUCGACCAUCGUAGAAAGGGUGGGGUUGGAAACACACUUCGUUUCCGCUUGCUUCCUGAAACCCGAAGCCCCAAUUGCAUCCUUAGGAGAGUUGGGGAACGGGUGUCCAUUGCAGAGAGAUGAUGGUACUAGCUGAACAAAGUUUCUCUCUCAUCCCUAAUAUGUGCAUGUCAGAUCUUUGUCCUAAAUCCUGCCCCAAUAACACUUUAGAGGUAAAGUUCAACCUUCGUCCCGUUUAGUUCUUGUCCAGAGCGCAGAUUAGAUAGAGAUGAAUCAGAAAUGUCUCAUGUGUUGAUGCACAAAACCGGAGGUCUUGGAACAACGUAAAUCCGACCAUGAAUCUGUAAGAAAGUAAAUAACACAAGAUGUAUCGUGGUUCACCCCAAUGUUUGGACUACGUCCACACUGAUAUUGUAUUUCUCUAAGAGGAUUGAGGAUGAGAUGGUGAAAGUUUCUGAGGGUGAGAGAGCUCUUCCCAUAGCCUAAGAAUUGGCCUCCCCUAAUGAAGAGAGUGAGGGGUCAUUUUAUAGAAUAAGGGCUCCCCACUUAUUACAUAUUUGCCCAUUCGUUUAUUACAUAAUUACAUAUGAGUCCCCCGAGUAUUUAUACGAGAUCUAAAUACGGAGGCCCUAAGUUUGGUACAAAUAGUAGUCCCCCAAGUCUUCAGUCAAAAGAGUCUUUUGGUUAGAGACUUGAAAUUCAGUCCAUGUGUGGGCCGAAGUAACUAGAUGUUGUCUUGAACUGAUGCUCGAUAUGAGGCGGUGCUCAAUCUGAAGUGAUGCUCAACUAGAAGUGGCACAUGUUGCGAGGCUGCUCGGUUUGUGGCUUAUUUUUCUUUGGUUGGCUCGGCUUGUGGUGUUGAAGGUGAGGGAGUCCAUUUUAUAGAAUAAAGGAUCGCUCCUUAAUACAUAAGUGAUGGGCUAAGAGUGAUGCUCGCGGCGAGGCAGUUGCUCAGCUGGCGGCGAUGCUCUUUAAUGAAGGUGAGGGAGUCUCUUUUAUAAAAUAAGGGCUCGUUCCUCGGUACAUGAAUAAUGGGUUAGGAGUGAUGCUCGCAGCGAGGAGGUUGCUCAGCUGGCAGCAAUGCUCUCUAAUGAAGGUGAGGGAGUCCCUUUUAUAAAAUAAGGGCUCGCUCCUCAGUACAUGAAUAAUGGAUGCUCUCUAAUGAAAGUGAGGGAGUCCAUUUUAUAUAAUAAGGGUUCGCUCCUCAAUACAUAAAUAAUGGACUAAGUCCCCCAAGUAUUUUUCAUGAGGCCCAGUUAAGGAAGCCCAAUAUAUGGUACAUAGUGUAGUCCCCCAAGUCUUCAGUCAAUAGAGUUUGUUGGCUAGAAACUUCAAAUUGAAUCCAUGUAUGGGCCGAAGUGGUGGUUGUUCGGAAGCGGUAUUUGUAUACCAUGCACUGAAGCUUUGUAGGUGAAGCUUUUAAAGUGAAGCUUUGAAGCUGGAGCUCUGUAAAUGAAGCUUUGAAGCUGGAACUCUGUAAAUGAAGCUUUCGAAGCUGAUUGACAUGAGUGAUACUCAUGAAUGUUUAUGUUGAUUGACAUGAGUGAUGCUUAUGGAUGUUGACAUGAGUGAUGCUCAUGAAUGUUGACAUGAGUGAUGCUCAUGAAUGUUGACAUGAAUGUUUAUGUAUGAUUGACAUGAGUGAUGCUCAUGAAUGUUUAUGUAUGAUUGACAUGAGUGAUGCUCAUGUAUAAUUUUGGAGUACUGGACGUACUUUUGAUCACCUGGUUUGUGAUAAUAGCGGCAGGGUGCCGAAUAAUUUUGGAGUACUGGGCAUACUUUUGAUCACCUGGUUAAUGAUAAUAGCGGUAGGGUGCCGAAUAAUUUUGGAGUACUAUGCGUACUUUUGAUCACCUGGUUGGUGAUAAUGGCGGCAGACUGCCGAAUAAUUUUUUGGAGUACUGGGCGUACUUUUGAUCACCUGGUUGGUGAUAAUAGCGAGUCUGGCUCUUUUGGGCAUAUGGGCCUUCGCCCUCCACAUAACAUUCCAGCCCAUUAUUUUGGGCUUGCCGUUUUUUUUUAAUUACCCUCUGAUGGGGUUUAUACAGAUGUCUCCGAAAGAUAAGAAAAAUAAAUCCGACCCUCUGCUCAAUGGGUCACGCCCAUAAUUCUCUUUUCUGCAUGCCAUCACCACGACAAUUAUGUCUGCUUCUUUUUAUCUUCUUUUGCCUUCUGCUUUUGCUUUUGCUUUUGCUUUUACUUUCUCUUUUCACUUUCUCAGAAAAUGAUUUCACAUGGUUUUCUCCUUUUGCUUUCUCAGAAAUCAGAAAAUGAUUUCACAUGCCUGAAACCGCGAGCACAUGGCUUUCUCCUUUUGCUUUCUCAGAAAAUGAUUUCACAUGGCUUUCUCCUUUUGCUUUCUCAGAAAAUGAUUUGCUACCACCCUGUAAAGAAGAUGCAGGGAAUGAGUCACGACUAAGCACUUCUGGUUGGUACUGCAACCCAUAGAACCUCCUGGCCAGGCUCUCAAUUGCAGCCACCGAUGCAGCAAAAUAGGGCAGCAAUGAAUUGAUAGGUGACAAAGCGUUGCUGGUAGCCCUUUUUUUAGCAAAUAUUGGAGCUUAUCAUACUUCAUGAUGACCAAUUUUUGAAGCAAUGAGAGAUUUCCGAGCACCUCCGAUAUGGAUCCAAGAUCUGGAAGUCUUUGGAUGAUGAAGGAUGUUAUAUUGUUGGGAAGAAGGUACUCUUUUGGGAAGGAUACAAGGUCAGGAAACCCACCGACAGUGAGAUCAUGAAGAGAGUGGAGUUUGUGAAGCCUCCAUUCAUCUCAAACUCUCUUGCUUUUCCAAACUUCUUCUUCCCCUCUCUCUCUUUCACUAUCUUUAAUUUUCUACCAUUAGCAGCCUCUGAAAAGAAAGGGAAACCGUGGCAAGAAAAAGUCAAUAAUACUGAGAAAACAUAAGAAAGCCACCAAAAGCUGACAAGAGAAAAAGUCAAGAAUACAGCCCAUAAUACUGAGAAAACAUAAGAAAACACCAGAGUUCAUCUUCCCAUCGCCGUGGCCGACUUGCUCUUUUCUUCUUUUGUUUUUUUUUUCUUUUUGCUUUCUCUUUUCUGCUUUUUUUUCUUUUUUUCUUUUUGCUUUCUCUUUUCUGCUCAGUGCUCCCUCUGUUUGAACUUUGCACUUUACACUUUGCCGUUUUCAGCGUUUUCUGACCAAUCAGAGCUCGCCACCACGGGGGUUUGCACAGCCUUGACGAGCACAACCUUGACACACAGAGCAACACUAGGAGGUGAAACAAGUCCUAAAAGAGCUCAAACGAGGAUAAUCCAAUGGCGGAUAAGUCGUCGUGAAGAUGGGAACUCGGAACAGUUGUAACCGCCAUCACCGAGUUGAAUCGUUGGGACAGAGUGAGCUGAGUUCAUAAGCAAGAGAGAGAGAGCCGAGUUGGAGCUCACUACGAACUCGUCAAGGGAGUUCAGGGCCGAGUUGGAGUCGGGUCGGGUUGAGGGGCUGACAGGAGAGUGGUGUCGGGAGUGCGAUUUGAUGAAACCCCAGGAAAAUGAAAAGUGAAAGUAGAGCAUGAAUGUAUCUAGCCAGAUCUUAUGUCCUCAGCUCUUCAUGGUUGUAAAUCUCUCCAUUCAUCGUGACAACGAUUGACUUGUCCUCGUUGUAGAGAGGUUGAUCACUAGAGGCAGGGUCAAUGAUGGCCAACUUCUGAUGAGCCAAAAAAACAAUCUCCAUGCUGGUACAGCCCACUCCAGUUAGGUCCACGAUGCUUCAAUCUGCGCGAAAGCUCAAGAAUCGGACCCUCUUGACGAGAUUUUUCUUGCGGUGUUGGGCAAACACGUUACAAAAAAUACCGAUAUUUCAGACGGAUCCCUUAGAUGCUCGAUGCAGCCUCUUCUCUGGUGGGCUUAGGCUCUCUUGAGGGCUUGUGUUCCCUUUAAUGUAGUCUGUUGCCUUCACCUUUGGAAAAAUGCAAAAAAUGUGCUUCUGCUUUGCCUCUGAAACAAAGAGGCAUAAUAGAAUGCUAACCAUCCUUUGGUCUUGAUUUCAUGCUGAAUGGUGGAACCAAGAAUCAAUAAAAGCCUUGUCCAGAUUUGCUGUUGGAAGAGUGACACUCAUCACCCUGUAGAUGAGCCAAUGCACCCGCCGCCGAGACGCAAAACAGAUAAGAGAAUAAAGGAGUGUUGAGGUGGUGUAUGGCUCAAACCCACACAUUAUUUUUCUUCUCUCUCCUGGUCCUCACAGAAAUCAGAAAAUGAAAGUUGGCGUAGUACUCACUAAAUGAAAGCUGACAAAAAUCAGAAAAUGAAAGCUGGCGCAGAUUCACGGCAGAGGUGAAAAAAUGAAAGAGAACCGACACAACUUUUCAUAUCGAUUCCCACAGACAGCGCCAAAUGUUGAUGCACAAAACCGGAGGUCUUGGAACAACAUAAAUUCGACCGUGAAUCUGCAAGAAAGUAAAUAACACAAGAUGUAUCAUGGUUCACCCCAAUGUUUGGGCUACAUCCACACUGAUAUUGUAUUUCUCUAAGAGGAUUGAGGAUGAGAGGGUGAGAGCUUCUGAGGGUGAGAGAGCUCUUCCCAUGGCCUAAGAAUUGGCCUCCCCUAAUGAGGAGAGUGAGGGGUCCUUUAAUAGAAUAAGGGCUCCUCACUUAUUACAUAUUUGCCCAUUCGUUUAUUACAUAAUUACAUUUGAGUCCUCCGAGUAUUUAUACGAGAUCUAAAUACGGAGGCCCUAAGUAUGGUACAAACAUCAUGCAUGUUUGUUCUCUGUGUAAGGUACCUCGAUUGAUGACGAUGAUAUCAAAGAGCAGCUCAAAUCACAAAUUCAAAGGCUGAAAAUUGUGCAGAUACCACAUGAUUCUCAUAUAUCCAAAAGGUAAGGUAAAAAUCUGACACAUCCGAAAAUGAUUUGACAAGUAAAAUCUUAUUUAUUAGGUUGUCUUCUCCCCAAUUUUAAAGGAUUAGGAUUCUCUCAUCUCAUCUUUCCAUCUCCUUCUAUCUCAUCCCUCUCACAUUCUUUUAUUUUGUCUUUCUCUUGCUAUAAAAAAAUUAAUAUAAGAUGUUGACGUGUCUUAAUCGUGACCCUUCAAUUAGGAGGUAAGGAAAGCUGAGGGAAAAAAAAAGGGAGAGAAUCCUACUCCCAAGUAAUAAUUAGUUCUAUCUUCCCUCCCCCUUCUAUCCUAUUCAUUAAAGAAAAAGACUAUUUACCCUAUGCGAUUUAGCCUCCGUACUUCUUACUCAAGAAAAGAAAAAGAAUUUUCUUUUAGUUCACAAUUAAAUCCCUAUCUCUACAAUUCCUUACUUUUCAUUGUAAUUUUCCAAUGAAUGCAACCUUCGAUAUGUUCUUAAUCGCCUUAUUUACUUAUUCUUGGUUUAUUUAGCAUGUUAAUUAUUUAUAUGGUCAUGAAGUUAUCAGUUAGGGUUAUGAUUUUAAGAAUUGUUUAUAUUUUAUUGUCAUUUUUUUUAUUGAUUAAAAAAUAAACAUAUGAUUUUAUAGUACUAAUUUCAACUAGCCCACCCAAAAAAAAAAAAUCCUAACUCUGCUAUUGGUUAAGUUGUGAGGAUCGGUGGUGCAUCAGAGAGAGACAGAGAGACGCAGAGCUACCUACGUCACUCCAGUCCCAAAAAAAAACACUUUCUUUAUAUUUUAUUAUGUCUCCUUCUAUGAAAUUUUGCAAUAAGGUAAGCUUGUCAUUAAAACUUUCAUUAUAAAGGAAAAGGAUCCGGCAACCGUUCAUAGUACAUUGGGCGGUCAAUUUUCGUUAUAUAUUAUUUAUAUUUAUUUUAAAUGUUAAAAUGAUUUUUGACCGCACAAUAUACGAUAAACGGUCAUAAUCAUAGGAUCCCUAAGAUCUCGCUGGAUCCUUUUCCUAUUAUAAAGUGGGUGGAAUAAUAGACAAUAAGUGGCGGGACUGAGUCUGAGAUCCUCGCAGGAUCUCUUUUCUACGGUUUGACAGACCCUUAAAUCCUGCUCGUUCACACAAAUCAAACGACCAUAAAUAAAUCACAAAAACGACGCAGUACCACCAUUUUCUUCUAUUCACUUAUGCUCUCUCCUCUUUCUAUUUCUGUUCACAGCCUCCAUCUCCAACCUUCUUCCUGGAUUUUGUUAUCAUUAAUUCCAUGGAGUUCUUAAUAGGAAAAAAAAUGCAAAAAUAGUUCUUGGUUUUUUUUAUAAAUUUUUUUUCAGAACCUAGACAUGAAGAGAGGCAGGGAAAAUUUCUAAUAGCAUAUCGGUGGAAAAUUGCAAUCAAAGGGGAAAAAUAAAGAGAUUAGAAAGAAAAACAGUGAAUUAUGAGUCUUGAUUACUGAUGUCCAUGGCGAUGGUGCUAUGAAUAGAGAGAGAGAGAGAGAGAGAGAGAGAGAGAGAGAGAGAGAGAGAGAGAGAGAGAGAGAGAGAGAGAGAGAGAGAGAGAGUGAAGAUAAAACGGAACGGAAGGUAGAAACUAGAAAGGGGUGGUUUACCCAAAAAAAAUAAAAAACUAGAAAGGGGUGAGGCUAUUAACUACAUUGAGAAAGAAUCAAAGAGCAAUAAGAAAUGUAGGAAAAUGGAGUACUAGAGAGAGAAACAAUUGAGAGAGAGAGAGAGAGAGAGAGAGAGAGAGAGAGAGUACACUGUAUAAAGUGUAUUUAAGACUUAAUGAAAUGGAUCAUCAAAAUUACAGAGUUUUUGUACACACAUAUAUCUAGAUUAAAGAUUCAUUCUUACACUUCUAAGUGACUAACUAAUUUUUUUAACAAUCUAACAGCUUUAGUAUGACAUGGCAGUCUCACUAACUAAUUAAUGUUGAGCUGUCACGACACUCAACAGAGGCAAUCUCGUUUGGUGUGAAUUUUUUUUUAAUUUUAUUUAUGGUCGUUUGAUAUGUGUGAACGAUCAAGAUUCAAGAAUCCGUCGGAUCCGCAUAAUUAAAGAGACCUGGAGAUGAUCUGAGUCCGGGGUGGGCAUAUUAUGAUUAUUUUAUUUAUAAAAAAAAUUCAUUUAAUUUGACUACCUUUGAACUUUCUAAGUUGGGAACUUGCCGAAGAAUGGUUGCCGCCAUAAUAUUUCGCUAAGGUAGUGUUGCACAUGCUGAAUAUUUGUUGCUGCAAGUUUGUAAUUUUAUUUGCUACUUGAUGCAAAGGAUUGUGACUCAAGUGAACAAAUUCAGAGUUUUACGGAUAUAAUUUGGUUCUUUUUAAUACAUAAUAUUACAAAGGCCUAGAAAUUUUUCUUGAAGGAAUAUGGUAACAUGUUUUCCACAUCUUGGCCUGCAAUUUAUGUGAAGGGGUAUUAGUGUGUGUUAUUUGCUUUGGUAAGAUGUGUGUUAUCUGCAUUGGUGUUGGUAAGAUAUGUGUUAUCUGCAUUGGUGCAUUUGAGGGUGUGAUUCACUUCCUACCUCUUUUUUAGUGCAUAUUUUUGUGCAAAUUAUUCUUGCCUAUUAUGACUAAUACAUUCAAUUCCCGCAACGAAGCAUGCGCGAGUUUUCUAAUGAUUUCUAAAGUUGUUCACAUCAAUAAUUAAAAACUGUGAGUGUCAACUUACUUUUCUUCCUUUCCAAAAAGUGGACUGUCUUUUUAUGAAAUCUUAAUUGCACAAUUUUAUGAUAAAAAAUGUAUGAGAAUUAUAAACUUCUAUUCUUUAUUUCGGAUUUGGAUCCUCUUGAUCAAUCAUUGUGGGCCGUUGGAUAAAAAUCCAACGGCUAUAAUUAUAAUAACUUUAAAAGGACUUCUCUGUUUGUAGCCGUUGGAUAAAAAUCCAACGGCCCACGAUGACUGGUCAGGAGGAUCCUCUCCAUUAGCCCAGGAGAGGAUCCAAAUCCCUUUAUUUCAUCGGAGGACAACCAAAUAAGGUAAAACACACUAUCUCCCAAAACUAACAAGGAGAGCAAGAACAAAGGCGCUCCUGAAUCCAAACUAUAAUUUGAGCAUUGCGAUUAAACAAACUUGGCAUAUGGUCUCUGGCGGCCUUUUGCCUUCUCAAGAUUGAUCAAUCUAUGCUUGGCUGCGCUGGUUACUUAAGUCUUGUGCAAGAAAACUAUCAGAAAGCAGUGACUUCAUAUUCUCCACAAGGCUUGGAAGGCUAUGUUGAGAAUUAUAAUCAUACAUCAAUGGGACCAUUCUAGCAACAUUAAGAGCAAGUUUUAUAAAGGAUGCUGAAAAUGGAUUUGAUGCAGACAAACAUUCUUGGUUGAGGAACUUCCAUUCUUCCGAAAUCCUAUGGACAACGAAUGCUCGUGCAUCUUCCUCUGAACAACCUUGAUUUUCAUUCAUGUAACACUCUAUGUAUGAACUAUCAUUUCCAUCUUGGUCCUCAUCCUGCAAUUAAUCCAGAAAAUAUCCUUACAAUACUAUAUUUUUAUAAACAAGUGCUAAAUGUAACUCAAACUAACCAUAUCAAAAUACAAGUACGAAACUUGGCACUUCCAGAGUCAUCCCAUAGCCGAAGAAUUUUUUCGGUUGAAGAUAUAAUGCUAGAUAUGUUGAUGUUGUCCAGAAUACGUACAGUUUCCUUGCUUAUACCUUGACCCAGUAAGAAGAAUGCAUGUGUUAGAACCACAUGCACCCCUGAACUGAUGAACCCGUUGUUCAAGUACUCUUCACUUUUUGGCAAGUGCCUGCAACUAAACCAUCGUGCUUCUAGUUGUUUGGAUCAAAACUUGAACUUUGGGCUCAAGAAAUGAGCUGGCCCAAAAUGAGGCCCGAAGGGAAAGACAGCCGAAGCCCAGUUAAAGCCCAUAAGGCAGAAAGGGCCUUUUCUGACUUGGUGCAGCUUAUGAAGACCACUUGCUUACCUACCCAAAAGCCAAGUGGUGUAGACUGAUCAGCUACACAUCCCAUAAAGCACUUUAUGGUGGCAUUACAUGUAAAAUAGCUUAUGAGUCAUCACCCUCAAACCGUAUUCGGGUAAGGCUGCUGCUACAGAAGGCCAAGCCGAGUUGUCUAUAUAAGAAGAAAGAGAAACCAGGAAUAAGGACACUCAAUCAAACAAACAAAUGCAAGCACAAACUCUGCUCAAAGCUAGAUUUGCCUUCAAACAAAGCUGUAGUCAGCCUUCAUCCCUCUCGGGACAAGCCUUCAUCCCUCGCGGGAUAACCCUCCCUUCAAACCUUUGUAAUAGCUCUGCUACCCUGUUCAACCUUGCUGUAGUAUCGAUUCAUCUUUUGUAAUCCCUCUCUCUAUCCCUCUAAGCUGUCAGACCCUUGACAAAACUACAAAGAUAGGAACCUACAGGACGAGCAGCCUUACCUGAUAAGGUUUAACCUUGCCCGACCUUCUUUGCUUUGUUUUUGUCUUUUCAAUAUGUUGUAUACGUCCAGUUGUAUGCAAGUUAUUUCUAGCAAUAUGACUAUUAAAAGGCUUUCUCAAUACUUGAAUCCGAUUUGAAUAUAUCUUCAGUGUUCAAACCAGAUCCAAGUCCUAAGCCCUCGGGCAUGUAAAUCUGAUCGGUUAAAAGUCCUUGGCCUCAAGGCAUAAAAAAGAACCUUAUGUGGACUUAACCCAUCCACGACAGUCCUUGAUAAACGAGAAGUCCGAAGUUACUUUGGGCACAAGUAAUCGACCUACCCUCUAGUUUUAUUUCUAUUAUGUUAUGAUUACCAUAGAACGCUUGAGCAUGAAGUGGAUUCUGAUGGAAAGCCUCAAGGCCUACACCUAAGGCCCCACAAAGGCAUCCAUUUGGAUUCAUUCCGUUCUGCGAUCUAGAGAGUCUAAGUAUAAGGAUGAACUCUGAUGGGAAGCCUCAAGGCCUAGGCUACACCUAAGGCCCCACAAAGGCACCUAUUUGGGUUCAUUCUACUUCUUGGACUCGGGUAAUCAGAAGUAUAAUAGUUAGAAAACUCCGGCAAUCACAAGAACAAAUAUGAUGUGUUUGAGCACUGGUUUAGUUAUUUAUGGGAAGCUUCAAGGCCUACACCUAAGGCCCCACAAAGGCACCUGUUAUAACUAACACGGUUUCUCGGAUAUAUACAUAUAUACAAUUAAAACUCGACAUCCAUUUUACAUCUACCAUGCUGAAGAUGGCAGUGGCACGCCUGAGCACCUAAAAGUUAACCUUGAUUGUGAACCUCAAGGCCUAUACCUAAGGCCCCACAAAGACACCUCUCAAAGUUAACGUUGUCCUUCUCUUUCAGCUUUGCCCGACGAGCCUUGCCCGAAGAGUAUUGCCCGACAAGACUUGCCCGACAAAGCCCGAUAGCGAAGCAGAAGCCCGAUAGCAGCCCUCAACCGGCGCCAACCUCCAGAGGAGCUGUGUGCUCGUCGGCCAGGAAACAUCCCCGACAGAAAUUCCUGACGCGAACACUAGUAGGAACGCUUUGCAUAAUGUUGCCCACUGCAUGCAUGCAGUACUAUAUUAUUAACAAUAAAUCCAAAUCUGAAUUGUAAUGCGUAAGUCAUUGAAUCGAAGUUAACUUAUAUACCGAUUUUUUAAGGGGCUCUAGAGGGUUCCAUCCAUGCCUUUUGUGCACAAUGUAGCUGGUUUCAUUGGUAACGUCAUAAAGAGCCUUAAAACAUAUCUUCAUGUAAUUCGGUAGUUCAAAUUAAGGUGAGUAUAAAAUGUAUAUUGUAUUUCUAUAUUAUGAUUUACAAUAGAGAUGCUCUUUAUAGGAGCCAAAGGAGUGGACAACAACUAAUGGAAAUAGUAAAGAAAGACUAAUGGACAAUUAGUGGACUAGACAAAAUUAUGAAAGGCAUGUCUAAUGGAAGUACUCAUGAAAGGCUAGUGGACAAGCAAUCAAUGUGUUGAGAAGAAGAUUCCCUUUUACGCCCCCGCAAGACGGUGGUCCUGUCAGAGACACCGAUCUUGGAUCGUAACAAUUGGAAGCGUGGACGAGGAAGAGCUUUUGUGAGGACGUCUGCAAGCUGAUCCUGAGUAGAAACAUGUGAAACUUGAAGAAGCCCGUGAUUGAUGCGAUCACGAACAAACUGAAAAUCAAGUUCAAUGUGCUUCAUGCGAGAGUGAAGAAUAGGAUUGACACUAUAAAAAGUUGCCCUAAUAUUGUCGCAGGAAAUGGUUGGCUUAUCCAUUGAGGAGACACCAAGCUCAUGGAUAAGGGAUUGAAGCCAAGCUAGUUCAGCAGUAAUAGAGGCUAUGGCGCGGUAUUCUGCUUCCGUAGACGAUCGAGCGACAAAACAUUGUUUGCGAGAGCUUCAAGAGAUUAAGUUGCCACCCAAAUAGAUGACAUAACCCGUGGUAGACUUACGGUCAUCACGAUCACCAGCCCAGUCAGCGUCUGAGAAGGCAUAUAGACGAGAUGAGGCACUGCGGUGGAAGAGAAUGCCAUGAAAAACAAUGCCUUUUAGAUAGUGGAUGAGACGUUUCAAGGCCUGCCAAUGAGACUCAGUGGGUCGAUGCAUGAACUGUGAGAGUUUGUUGAUGGUAAAUGAGAUGUCAGGGCGGGUGAGACUGAGGUAUUGGAGACCUCCAACAAGUUGUCGAAAGGUAGUAGCAUCAGUGAGAGGUGAGCCAUCAGAGAGAAUCAAAGGAGUAGAGGUAGCCAUUGGUGUGGUCACAUCCUUAGCAUCAUCCAUUUUAGCUUUAGCGAGAAGAUCAUGGAUGUAUUUAUGUUGAGAAAGAAACAAACCCGUGGUGGUGGGUAUCACUUCAACCAAGGAAAGGAAAUGAAGGUUCCCAAAUCUUUGACAAAAAACGAUUUCCAAGACUUGAAUGAACAUAGAGAGGAGACUGGUAUAUAUUUAUUUCCUGUAAGAAUAAAGAAGAUCAUCAAUCAACAUAAACUAGAAGGAAUAUCACAUCAUUAUCCUGACGAAAAAUAAAGAGAGAGAUAUCUGAGAUGGCAUUGAUACAAAUCCUUGAUUGAGCAAAAAGGUGCUCAACUCCUUGUACCAUGAUCGGGGCCUGCUGCUUGAGGCCAUAUAAAGCUUUGCGAAGUUUGCAGACAUGUGUUGGAAUGGUAAAUUCACGAAUAACUGUUGACCAUGGGGAAUUGUACCCAUGUGGUUUUCAAACAAUCAUUUCAGGAUAGUGAUCCAUGCAAAAAGCAUUGUUCACGUCUAAUUAUUGACGAAGAGGCCAACCCAACCAUGUUUGAGUGAGCCAAAUGAAGAAACAAUACGGAUGGUGGUGAGUUUUGAAAACACAACUGACUGAAGGUGUUUUAAGAGAAAUCCACGCCAGAGACAUUGGUGAAAGCCUUUAGCACAAAGGCGUGCUUUGUACCUAUCAAUGUUGUGCAUGGAAUGUGCAAGCCAUUUCAGAUUCAUUGUGAAUCUUUUUGAUGCGGAAGACCCCAUUGCAACGCCCGAUAGAGAUUCUGUGAAGGCUUGUUAAGGAGGAAGGAACAAGCUCCCAUGUGCCAUUGCGGAUUAAACGCCUUAAAAACUCGGACGACACUUGCUGGCACGAGCCAAAGAGGGAUCUUUUAAUAGCCUGCAGAAACACAUGUUGGUUCAAUGGAAGGAAGUGGGAAUGUGGUGCUUUGGUGGCAGUUGGGAAAUUGUUUUUUAGGUCUUUAAGAUAUUGUUUUUGGCUUCUGGUAAUAUGGGGUGAUGGUUGAAAUUAUUAGGUGGUGGUGGUGGUGGGGUAAAGGAAUGUAUUUGGAUGUGGUGGUGGGGGUAAAGGAAUGAUAGAGGGGUGUGGUGAUGGGUAUGAGAUGAGAUGAUGUUGAGGAGGAGGGGGUAAGUAGUCGCAAAUGGUGAUGGUGCAGCGGCAGAGAAAACACAAAACUCCGAGACCUCCGUAAAGAUGUAUGAAUGGCAGCAUGCUGAGAAGAGGUGUGUGUGAGGAACUGGUGGCACUUCGGGCAAUGUGAGCAGGAAUGGAGAUGGCGGCUUGAGUGACAGGAGACCAUGCAGUGGAGUCGGGGGAAGGAACUGAAGGGAGUGCAAAACAGAGUCAAAAGAAGAAAAGGAAAGUGUUUUCAUCAAAUCGAACGUGACGGGAAACAAACAUACGACGGAAAGGGAGAUCAAGACAUAGAUAAGCACUUUGAGUAGAGGAGUAACCAAGAAAGAGACAUGGACGAGAUCGAGGAAGAAGCUUGUUGGAAUUAUAGGGUCUUAACCAAGGGAAACAUAAGCAACCAAACACACGAAGCUUAAUGUAGUUAGGAAGAUCACCAAAGAGAGCUUUGUAUGGAGAUAUAUUAUUGAGAACAUGAGUGGGCAUCCUAUUAAUAAGAUACACAGCAGUUUUGAAAGCAUAAUGACCAAUAAUAAGUUACAAAGAUAGGGGUAAGGAUGCUUGGUGGAGAAGUGUUAACCCUGUUUUCGACAACAUGGCGGUGGCGGCGUUCAGUACAACACCAUGUGUUCAGAAGUGUGUGGAUGAGUGGUGAGGUGAGUGAUGCCAUUUGUGGAAAAGAAAAUGUUUGAGUUUAACAUAUUCUCCUCCUCCGUCAGAGUAGAAGGUGAUUAUUUUGGUGUGGAAGUAGUUUUCUACAAGAGCUUUAAAGGUUGUGAAGAUUGAGAAAACAUCGGAUUUGUGUUUCAUGGGAUAAAACCAAAUAUAUUUCGUGAAAUGAUCGACAAAGAUAACAUAGUAUGAAAAACCAUCAGUAGAUAAAUAGGAGGAGCAGGGACUUAUACAUACAUCACUAUAAAUUAGUUCAAGGGGACGCUUACUAACAAGCGUAGAAUGACCAAACGGGAGCUUGUGGCUCUUAUUGCAAUGACAAGAAGUGCAAAGGAGUUGAAGACAUAGGAAUUGAGGAGGUACGUUGGAUUUGAAGAUAGGUUCGAUGGUUGGGGUGACCAAGCCUACGGUGCCACACAUUGGAGGAGUCCAUCACACUACUCAUAACUUGUUUUUGAGGCAUCAAGCACGGCCACUCAUAUGUAUCGUUCUUAUUCGGGCCUCGAAGAAGUGCCGCUCCCAUGUUGAGAUCCUUGACAAGAAAGGAAUCAGGAAAAAAUUCAAUAGAGGUGGCAUUUUGUCUAUUAAAUUUGGCAAUGGAAAUAAUAUUACGGGAAAUGGAAGGAACACAAAGGACACCAUUUAAGUGAAAUGGGGUGGUAGAGGAAGAAGAGAGUGAUGUGGAACCAACAUGUGUAAUACUUAAACCUGUUCCAUUACCAAAUAACAAUUUGAUCAGGACCAUCAUAGGUAGUGGAGUCCGGAUGUUCCUGGAGUCAGAAGUAAGACAUGGUGAGAGCACUCGAGUCGAGCAGCCAAGCAGCCAAGGAGAUGAUGUUGAGGGGCGGAUAGUGGUGUGGUUGACCAUGGGUGGAGCGGAAGAAAGUUGAGGGCAACGUUUUGCACUAUAUGCCCUUGAGUACCACACCAAUGACACAAAACCACGAUACCCCGUAUAGAGAACGAUGAUGAUUGGAGUUUGUGGUGGUUAGCACGGUUAGAGUUGUAGGUGGUAUUUGUUGGACGCUGCUGGGAGGCUUGUGUGGCCCUGAAGUCACGCUAGAAGGAGCGGGGAGCUUAAGCAACAAGGGCAGUCAUAGGAGUAACAGCAGCUGGUGGUGCAUCUCGUUGGAGGAAAGUUUCAUGUUCAAUGAGUUUGUCAUACCGAUUUUCAAAAGAGAUGGAGGUAUCGCUAGCUCGAACAACGACAACGAUUUCUUUGAAGGCAGGUCCAACACCAUUGAGGACGUGUAGAACAACAUCAUCGUCGGAGAGUGGAGAAUCAAUGAUGGCAAGCUCAUCAAUGAUAACUUUGAUAGCUUGUAGAAAAACUGACACAGGUUGUGUAUCGCGACGCAUGAGCGUAAGACGCUCUUUGAGGUUGAGAACCCGAGAGCGUGUUUUGUUGGCGUAGAGCUUGGUGAGCUUGUCCCAAGCCUCCUUAGAUGUUUUAGAGAAGGAAAUGAGAUAUAUAAUCUGUUCAGAGACAGAAGCUAAGAUAGCAUGUAGUAGCAGCUGAUCUUGACGAAUCCAGAAGGUGUAGCACACAGUAGAGGAGGCAGCAGGACGUGGUUUUGAUCCAUCAAUGUAACCCAUCAGGUCAUACCCAAGAAGCAGGGCAUUGAAUUGAGCUCGCCAUGAAGGAAAGUUGGUGGGUGUGAGUUUUAGAGGUAACUGAGCAGCAGCGUUAAUGGUGAUAGGGGUGGGCAAGGGGGGUGAGUUGGUGGAUUCAGCCAUGAGGAUCGGAAAAAAAAUUGCUCGAUGGAGCUUUGUUGCUCUUGAUACCAAAUUAAGGUGAGUAUAAAAUGUAUAUUGUAUUUCUAUAUUAUGAUUUACAAUAGAGAUGCUCCUUAUAGGAGCCAAAGGAGCGGGCAACAACUAAUGGAAAUAGUAAAGAAAGACUAAUGGACAAUUAGUGGACUAGACAAAAUUAUGAAAGGCAUGUCUAAUGGAAGUACUCGUGAAAGGCUAGUAGACAAGCAAUCAAUUUGUUGAGAAGAAGAUUCCCUUUUAGUUCACCAGUUGCAUCAAUAUCCCAUCUGCAAAUAAUUAAUUACAUGCGUUAAUGUCAGCGCAAGUGACUAUGAAUUAGACCGCUGAUAGUCAUGCAUGAUUCAAAUUCACAAUCUAGCAACAUAUUCACAUUUUAUUUGCACACUAGUGUAACAUGUAGGAUAUCAUAAAACCACACAAGUACACGAACCUCUCAACUGCAGCUGUGAAGAGAAUGAGUUCAUCGAGGGUGCCCUGAACAUCAAAAAUAUCGUCAAUUAUGUAGACAAGAGAGAUCGAUUUUGUGAGUUCAACCCUUUCCUCUGAUAAGCUUGGAUCUGCUAGGCAUGCCAUCGGCCACGUAUACCAUUUAAUUGGCUGGUCUCUCACGAACUUCAACUCCUUAGUCAAGCCUAGUUCUUUCCACCACCUAAUUAUUACGAUGAAAAAUAUUUUCAUUAAUUAAAAAGGAGUACUAACUUAAAAUCAGUGUCUAGUGUCUUUGGAUCUGAACUCACUUGGAUACUUGUUGAACUUCAUUUCGGAUUAGAGAUUCAACCAUGUUGAACUCUAGUUUUGCUAGCUCCCGCAAAACAUUGACCCAUUUCUCCUUCCCUUCGAAAUUAUUUAAGUAGUUCUUAGCCAUGAAUCUUGUCAAGCUCUUGUGAUAAGGAUGCUCUAAUGAGUACGCGAAGGAUGAAGCUUGAUGAUCAUCGAGGUUGUUUUUCAUCCAAUCCGUGAGAAGCUGGUGGCUUCGCCUUCCAGCUUCAUCAAGUGACUCUUCUCCUGGGAAGCUCAAAUGAGAUGCUUCAUAUAAUCCUACUAAUCCGCUUAUGUCGACUUCCUUGUUGUUCUUGAACUUAUUAAAUAUUGCAUCUGUUAAUCACAAGGAAAAUUAAUUACUUUGUAGUAAUGGUGACAUUAGCUUUCAGAGUAAUGUUAGACAGACCAAAUUUUUCAACCAAAUUUGACAUUUGUAUCAACAAACAAACAAAUAAAUGUUCACUUGGUCGUUUUAAUAAAAUAACAUUUUGCAGUAAAGUUAGGACAAAAAGAGAAUUGAGACCAACCUGUGGUUACAUGAUAACCUUGUUGUCUCAGUAGUCGAAAACGAAGUGAAACCACACCAAGUUCAUCACUGCCUUCAUCACCAUAAGCUCUCGUGCAUUGCUUUUUUUAAAUUGCUUCAAUCUCCUCUUGGAAAUGAUAGUCAACGCCUAGGCGUUGCAUGGCGUCAACCGCAAUCAAUUGUUCAUCUUCUCCGAUGUUUGCGAGUGCAUCCUUCAAUUCCUUCAAUUUCUUUGCAUAGCGAACCUGAAGGUCGCCCUAAAAGGGGAAACAUUGAACUUAGCAUGAUAAGCAAACACUAGGCUGAAAUUACAUAGUAAAAAAAUAAAGGUGAAUUGUCAAUUUAGUUUCCGAAUUAUCAUCUGAGUGAAAAUAAGUUCCUAUACUAUUUUUUCAGUCUGUGAAUUAUAAAAAUCUGCUAAUUACAUUCUUAAUAUUAGAUACGAAGCUACUAUAUUCAAUUUUCUGUCAAUUUAAGUCACGUUACUUGCAUGUGAUUCACAUUGGAAGGUAGAUUGAUAUUUUUUCAAAAGACAGUGUAUAGAGUUAACUUAGGAGGGUAAAUUAGACGUUACAUUCGCAACCUAUAUGAAAUGUUAAAGGCUUAUAAGCGAGAAAAUGAUAGUAUUAUACUCUAAAGUAACAAGUGACUUAAGUUGACGAAAAAUUGGAUAAAAUAGCUUUGAAUAUAAUAGUAUGAAUGAUAUUAGCAAUUUUUUAUCAAUUUAGGUACUUAUUUUACUGAAAAAAUAAUUCUAGGACCUAAUUUUCUUUAAGGUGAUAUUUUAAGGACUAAAUCGGCACUUUAUUCUAAAAGAAAAAGAGAGAGAAGAUAGUGUGUGGAGUAAUUAAGUAACCAAGUAGUGUUAGUUUUGGUACAUGAGUAGUGGAUUUGUGGAGCAAUUUGGACACUAAUGUGUAUAUAAAAUAUAUAUAUAUAUAUAUAUAUAUAUAUAUAUCUAUAUGUUGGGUUAUUAUUUUUGGAACUUACAAUAACUUGUCCCUUGGAGGAAGCAGAGUGAGCUUGAAGGAAGUGUGCCAUUUUCUACAAGAAAGAAAUUAAGAAAUUCCAGUUUUGGAUGAGAGAAAAUACUUGUUGGGAAUGAAGUGAGGUGAUCAGCUCAUGGUGAUUCCUAGUGAAUUUAUAGGGCAAUGUCUCUUGGCAUCCAAUGCAAUGGAGCAUGCGGAGCAGUGGCGGAGCCACAUGGAGACUAGGGUAGUCCAGGGCCUAUCCUGGAAAUAAAUUUAUAGCGAUUAUGUAGUAAAUUUUGCAGUAAUGUGCAAGUGGUGUGUUGGUAUGUUAGGUUUUAAUGGUUUCAUUAGGUCUUGGGGUCGAUGCUUGCUGACGAAAAGCUAUUUUUUGGUAUUUUUUACCAAUUAUCAUAUAUAACUAACCUUCUGCUAACAUUCUGAUUUCUUUUAACCAAUUAUUUUUGUGUUAGUUCAUAUAAAACAAGGUAUAUAUAUUCGGGAGGAAGAUUAAAUGAUAUUAAAAAAAAAGUAUCGUAAUAAUAGCUUAUUUUUUUGUUAGUUCAUAUAAAAUAAGGUAUAUAUAUUCAAGAGAACGAUUCAAUAAUAUUAAAAGAAAAAUAUUGUAAUAAUAGAUUGAGCUAGUUAUAACAUUAUUAUUAAUGUUGCGUUAGAUGUCAACACAUGUUCUAUUUACUAUGACAUCUCUCAAUACUAAUUUUUUCAUACAAAUUUUAAAGCUCCAUCACUCUUGUUUGAUUCAAAUUUUCCAUGAUAUUACUAUUUUUUUUUCUAAUUUCUUUCAUUAGUUUAAAGGCCUUUGUGGCAUGAAUUUCUGGCUCCGCCACUGAUGCGGAACGUUUUGCACACUUUAGUGGUGGGAUCAAUGUGCACGAUGAUGAAGUUGAGUACUUGAGCUCGAUUGAUGCAUAUUUUUGUCUUAACAGUACACAACGUUUUGCACCCUUUAUUGUUGGAGAAAUAAGAUAGUUGAAUUCGUCAGGGACUUGAUAUUAACAAUGCAAAAUUUUAUUCUACACUUCUUAUAAGUGUAUUUUUCUUUUUAAUUAUAGAAAGUUUAGAGUGCAAAAUAAGAUUUUUAAAGUGCCAAUAACAAUCUCAUUUUCUAUAUGCUAAAACUCGGUUCAAAAAACAUUGUUCACCAACCGUAAAAUGACAAAUGGCCCUCCACUAGCUCUCCAUUCCUCGUUCUUUUUCCUCCUUAGCAUAGUGGAAUGACGCCUUUGUCCACACUGCCCACGUGUCGAUCAUCAUCCAAUGCUCUGCUUCGACUACAUCUUCUCGACUCUUCAUUCCAAUUUCACUUCUUCGUGUCUAUUUUUUGACAUUUUCUGUAGCAUUUAGCCAACAACCCAAGUUAUAUGCUUAACUAUUGUAGCUCCCAUUUUUAACCGUACUUAGGGGAGGGGGCUCAUCAGAUUUUGGUGGGCAACAAUGCAUCUAACCUCCUUGACCGUCCCUAAAAUUCCAUUUCAAUCUCACUUUUAUCCUUUGAAACUCAAAUUUCGCCUAUUCCUUUUCAAAAGAGUAGCAAAAAAUAAGCAUAGAAAUGUUAAGACUUCACUGAACUCUUCUCCUUCUAGCAGACGAUAGCCACAUAAAACCAAAACCUAUCCACACCAACAAUCCUUAGAUAUACACAUAAGCACAUGAAAUUAACUGUAAUUUUACAUAUUUAAGCUAUUUAAAGCUGUUGGGACAUUAUUUCAGAAAAAAAUGGCCAGUGGAUGAAGAUUGAAGAAGCCUCCUCUUCUUUUCUUUUUUUCCUUUUUUUUCAAUAUAUGUGGCACCAUUUGGUUGGAUGCGUUGAUCUUAUACUUAUGUCUUAGUAAACUUAACGAAUAUGUAACAAACAAGAUAAAAAUCAAGCAAAAAUGGAACGAAAAUUUAGUUCCAAGGUAUUAAAUAGAAAAUUUUGAAUUCAAUGGGAAAAUAAGAUUAAAAUCAAGUUUGAGGAGGCAUAGGAAAAAUAAAAAUGUUGCUGUUUCAUUUAAAACUCAGUCAAUAGUUAAUACAGUUACACAUCAAUGGUAGGGAUGAGCAUUGGACAAACAUAGUGGGAUUGGAGUUGGGCAAUCCAUGUCCAUUAAACAUAAGGAAAACUAAUGAAAAGAGCUUGAAAACUUUGAGUUUUAAUGAUAAAGACAAAAUAAAGGGUAAAGUGAAUAGUACCAGGAUUGACUUUUUAGUGUAAAAAUGUGGUUUUUCGUUAAAGUGAACAGUUUCAUGAGUUUUUCGUUAAAGUUCUCUUAAACAAAUGAUGAAUGGGGACCAUUACCCAAAAAAAUCCAUUUAUACAUUUAAUGGAGACCCGUAGUCCUUCCUACACAACCCAUUCCCACCGAGAGAAGAUGAGCGAGACAGACCACAAAUGCUACUCAAAAGUAUGAUCUCUUGCCUUACAUUUUAACGUUAAUUUUCGUGUUAUAAUUAUAAAACGUUAUCCCAACAUUAUAAAACAUUUGUCUCACUUUUAAGACCAAAUCUAACCCUGGGCUAAAUGCUAUUUUGUAGGUUUUAUUCCCCCCCCCCCCUCAAACCCAACCCAACUCAUGUAAAUGUGUGGGCUAAAAGCUAAAUGCCAAAUUCCCCCUAGGAUUUAGCCCAUAAAAUGGUGUGGGCACCACCAGAGGGACCCCACCUACAUGGGCAUGUCUCACAGGAUUUAAUGAAUCCAACGGCUGAGAUCGAAUAUAAUCAAAUUUAACUGUAAAAAAAAAAAUCUAACGGCCCAAAUUUAAAUCUAACGGUUAAAAUAAUUAAAAAAAAUUAUUUAACUCAAAAUUCACCCAAAUUUAGUGGUUUUUCAAUAUUUAUCAGAAUUUAAAUAUUUUUAUGUUAAAAUGUUAAUAAAAUUAAAAUUAUGAUAGUGUACAUAAUUUAAUUUUUUUUUUAAAUUACUUUAAAAGAAGAACAACAACCCAAAACGCUAACUUUGUGGAACUUUCAUUGUUUUUGUUAACAUUGAUUACGACCCCCGAGACUGAAAGCUAAAUUGGUAUUAAUUCCACUCCAUGCAUCUUGCUUUUUCACCUACAUACACAGCUAAGAGCACUUCUAAAAGAGAUGUCAAAAUAUAAAUGUUAAAUGUUAAUUUGAUGGCUGACGUGGCAAUGUUAGAUUUUCUCUUUUUCCAACUGAUAUGUUUCUUUAUUAUAAAUGAUAUCUGUAGGAUUCAUUUUAAAAAUAAAUCAAUUAAAAUACAUUUUCAAAAUCUAUAAUUGAUGCAUUAAUAAGCCUCACACAGUAAAAUAAUUAAAAAAAAUUUGACAUCAAAGUCAUUACAAAUUGUACCAUCUCAAUCAUAAACGGCAUCCCUUCUGCACAACAUGGUAAAGUUUUUUCACGUUCCUUGUCACAUUAGUCCAUAAAACAACAAAGGAUCUUUAAUCCCAGUUUUACCGACCAAGCGAAAACAAUCCUUAUCCAAAGGAUUGCAUGGGAUCUUCAUUUGAACUUUAGCAGCCUAUCUUCGAUCCUAAUGCAAUAAUACCAUGACAAAAUCACAAUAAUAAAAAAAAAAAGGUCGUACCCAGUGCACAAUAAUAAUCACUGAAAAUCUAACGUGUAAAACCGGAAUCCUUUCUUCAUCCAACAAGCCUUAAUUAUAUCGGGCGAUAGUGUUAAAUCGAGUCUAAACAAUUAGAGAUUAAACCAUGCUGAACUCUAGUUUUGUCAAGCUCUUGUGAUAGGGAUGCUCCAAUGCAUAUGCGACUGCUGAAGCUUGAUGUGUUAGUGUUGAAGAACAAUGUUUGAGUUAUAAUUUUAGUCUUGAAAAGGCUCAAGAGUUAAAGAAUAUGUGGAACAAACAAUAACAAUACUUUAAUGUGAAACGGAAAGUCCAAUUUUUGUUACAGAACUUAAAAUAUGUUUUUAGAUGUAUAAACGACCUUGGUUAGGGAUUGGUUUAAUUAAAAACAUGUAUAAUUAUAUGUUUACUGUAAUAAUCUUGAUCGUUAAAUUUAGUCAAUGGACGAGAUUACUGAGAGGAACAAGAGGCAUGUUCAACAACUAUUCAUAUAUGUGUUGUCACAUUACAUUUUCUACUGCUAAAUAACCUAGUCCAAUAUGCUCAACGGGUACAUUUUCUUUUUGGGCUACGGUCAAGACUCAAGCCCAUAUCCAAAGAGUUCGAGUUGUAUUUUUUACAUUACGUAUUUUAAUAGAAAUUGUGAGAAAUUUUACUUUUUAAUUAUUAAUUUUUUAGCAUGCAUAUUCCAUCGCACUGAAAAAUCUCUGGUCUCAGAAGAUGUCGUUAAGUUCUCCAGCGCUCCUUCUGCACCGCCACCCAAUCUAACGUCACCAACGGCAGGAGCAUUGGCGCCAUCUCCACCGACCUCUACAAAGAGCGCAACCUCAAACGCCUCUCAGAAGUUGUCAAUUGAACCAGAUGUGAUGUCGUAUAAUACUAUGAUCGAGGCAUUUUGUGAAAUGGGUUCGUUGGAUCGGUGGUUUCGAUGGGAUGGAGAAGAAGGGUGUUGAGUCGGAUAUAAUCAUGUUCAACACGAUCAUGAAUGGGUUGUUUGCGAAUGAUCAGUUUUUGGCAGCCGAGAAGCUGUGGAGUUGAAUGAAGAAUGUUGUCCCUGAUGUUAGGAGCUACAAUGCCAGGUUGUUGGGAUUGGCUUCGGAGAAGAAAACUGACGAGGCGGUUGAAUUGUUCGAGGAAAUGCGGAACAAGGAAGUAAAACCUGAUGUGUUAAGCUUCAAUGCCAUGAUCAAGGGAUUUGUUAAUGAGGGUAAAUUGGAAGAAGCUAAACAGUGGUAUCGUGAACUGGUGAAGCGUAGUUGUGCUCUGCAGAAAUGAACUUUCCAGGCUCUUGUUCCUUUUGUUUGCGAGAGGGGUGAUUUGGACUUUGCCUUUGAACUCGGCGACAAAAUUUUCAAAGGGCGUCUCCUUGUGGAUGUGGAGUUACUGCAGACUCUGGUGGAUGGGAUAGCUAACGCUUCCCGGAUCAAUGACGCAAAGAAGAUUGUGAGGCUUGGGAACACAAAUACAUACCUGCGUUACAAUUUGCAGUUGCCUUCAGAGGAAUAAUGUAUUUCUGUUGUUGUUUGUUUCUGUUUGCAUGUCGAAAUGUUUGUGCUUUUAUUGCUAGACACUUCUAAUUUAUAUAGUUAAAUUUGUGCAAGCUUCAAACAUUCCUUCAAUUUCAGUGUUGAAUAGUUAUUAUUACACAGAUUUUCAUACAGCAUGGAUUUCAUAUACGCCUCAAGAGGUGGAAGGUGUUGGUCAUCAUCGUAGCGACACAUUAACAGGACCAAUUCUUUGUUUAACUGCUUCCAUUCUUCUUAAAUCAUAUUUACAGCAUUUUCUUGUGUUUCCUCCAUUGAAGAACCUAGAUUUUCAUCUAAGUAGCGUCGUAUGUAUGACCCCUCGUGCCGAUCCUGAUUCUCAUCCUUCAGUCAAGCUAUGCACAUUUUGAGAGAUAUGAACAAGAUGUUUACUCUAUGUAACGUGUUUGAUUUGAAUCUAAUUAUAUAUAAUCACCUCGGCGCUUCCCAAAUCUUCCUAAAGCCGAAGAAUUGCUGCUGUGGAAGAUGCAAUUUCUAGAGUUCUAUUCAACGGCUCCACACUUUCUUUGGUUAUACUUUGACCCAAGAGAAAGAAUCUAUGCACCAUCAUCGCAUUAACCCCAGAAGAAGGGUUAAUCUCAGUUUAUUACCCUGAAAUUUCUUAGUUUUCAACUUUUGGUACAUAAAUUUUUUUUUUCAUUGUAGUCUGAUACCUAAAGUCAUAAUUCUGGGACAUUUUCAUACAUCCGUUAAGUUUUCUGUCAGGACCUCAAUUAAUUGAUGAUGUGUCGCCCACUUGGACAAUGAUUGAGCGCCACGUUUCAAUAUGGGCCUAUGUGAAUAUUAAAAAAAUUAAAGUUUUUUCUUUCUUUUCUAGGCAUCCUACUUCCCUCGGACCCUCUCCCCUCAUUCUCCCUCCAUUCUUUGCACCCACCCUCCCUGCACACCCACUAUCUGCCCUGCUCCUCUUCCACCUAUCUAGGUAUGACAUAGGCCUUGCCGCCGCACAAAUGGGUCGGCGUUAUCGAAGGUCAGCCGCAGGUGGCGGUGGAUCAACGAAGUCAAUAGCGGAUCGGCGUUUAGGAGAUAGCGAAUCGCAGUCUCGAUUGCUGAACUAUCUUAAUCUUGGAGGCCAUGGUGACGGUGAAGGGUUUGGGGGAUUCAAAUACGGCAACUAUCUGAUGGGAGGAAUUGGGUGAAGAGGGUGGAGGAGAGAGAAGAGAGGGGAGGUGAAAAGGGUGGGGGUGGGUACCGUAUAGAGGUUGGGUGGGUGCAGAGGAGAGAAGGGAGGGAGCAAGGUAGAUGUGUGGGUGUGCAAGGAGGUGGGUGUAGGGAAAAGAAGGGAGGGAGAAUGAGGGAGGGUGUAAUAUCCCACAUCGCCGGAAGAGGGGAGGUGAUGUGCCUAAUAUGUAUAUGUCCACCUCCCUACAGUAAGACGCAUUUUGGGUGGAAGCCCAAGAACAAAAUCGUGAGGGCAUAGCCCAAAGCGGACAAUAUCUUACUUUGCGGACUGGGAUGUGACAAUUUGGUAUUAGAGUCACUGCCCAGCCGAAAGUGUGCCGACAAGGGCGUCGAGCCCCUAAAGGGGUGGAUUGUAAGAUCCCACAUCAUCCGAAGGAGGGAAGGUGAUGUGCUUUAUAUGUACAUGCCCACCUCCCUAUAGAAAGACGUGUUUUGGGUGGAAGCCCAAGAACAAAACUGUGAGGGCAUGGCCUAAAGCGGACAAUAUCUUACCAUGCGGACUCGUGAGGGCGUGGCUCAAAGCGGACAAUAUCUUACCGUGUGGACUAGGAUGUAACAAAGCGAGGCGGGAAGGGUGAGGCAGGAUGCCCAGAAAAGAUUUUUUUUUUAAAUUUCCAUGUGGACCCAUAUUGACACGUGGCAUCCAGUCAUUGUCCACGUAAGUGCCACUUCAUCAAUUAACUAAUGUUCUGACGGAAAACUUAACGGAUGUAUGAAAGUGUUCCAGAAUUAUGACUUUAAGUACCAAACUGGGACAAAAAAAACUUUAUGUAUCAAAGGUUGAAAAUCAAGAAAUUUUAGGGUAGUAAACUAAGAUUAACCCCCUAGAAGAAACAAUACCAUUCUUUAAGUAGUCUUCCGCCUUCGGCAAGUGCCCGGAUUUGAACCGUUUUGCUUCUGCUAAAAUGCAUUGCACAGAAUCCUCCACUGCACGUGAUAGUAGAAUUAACUAUCUGUUAAGCCUUCUCUUGAACAAACUAGUAAUUAAAUUUCAUGACACUAACCGGUUUAAUAUAUUACCUUCUUAAACGAAUGUAAUGGGUACCACCCAUGCUUUUGAUAGAAUUUGCAGCUGAUUUCAUUCGUCAUAUUGUAAAGAGACUUGAAAUAUAUGUUCAUGUAGUCCGGUUUAAGUGCUCUAUAGCACCAAUUUCGCAUCUGCAGCGUAACAUUUACUGAUCAAUUCACGGUGAAAACUGGUGAAGCCAAUUAAGAAAGUACAGGACAUUUUAUUGUUUACAUAUUGACAGCCUCAGUGAAGAGAGUAAGUUCAUCAAGCGUCUCGUACAUCGAAAAUGUCAUCAAUAAAUGGUUUUGUGAACUGAAUCCUCUCCUCUUACAGGUUAGGAUCUGUUGAGCGCAAACUACAGUUCCCUAGGCAGUCCCAUCUCUUUCCAUCACCUAAUUAUUUUGUUGGAUGAAAUAAACAGACAAAUUAGGAUUUCUAUAGUGCAGUUAACCGUAUUGUUUACAUGCGGAUAUAUUCUUGAUAUUGAUGAUAUUGUUGGUACUUCGACCUUGUAGAUAUGUGUACAACAUGGUUGGCGAUAAAUUGGACAACAUUUUUAAGAAGUGCUGUUAAAUGCACGAUGUCAGUUAAUUUUGGAAAUUUGAAUAUCUACUUCUGAUGUAUGGACUGAACCAAAUUAAAAUCCGUUUUGCCACAUCCUGUAGCAUAUUUAGCCAUCUAUUGUUCAUGCCAGCUUGGGAAUUAGUAACAAAAAAGUGGCCAUGAAUGUGGCCAAGCUUUUGUGAUGGGGGUACUCCAGUGUGUUCCCCACAACUCUGGCCUAAUGAGGACCAGGAUAGGACAAUGAUCUAUUUACGAGAUCACUACUCAAUUUUCCAGCUUCAUCAAGUGCAUCUUCUCCUUCCCUGCUUAGCUGUAAAGCUUCGUACACACUCAUCAAUCCCUUGACCUCUUAACUAAUUAACGUUUUCUUAAAAUGCUUCCUUCGCUUUCCUUCAAGUUGUUGACACAUCUAUUAAUAACAAAAGUUAUAAUUGGGAGUGAUUGACUGAUACUGAAUAUCAAUCUGCAAUACUAAGUAAAUAUAAGAACAAAUUGUUACCGAAAUUUUAGUUAUACUCACCCUCGGACACGAAGUGACCAUGUGGCCAUAACAGAAGGGCAACUUCAUGAAGGUCAUUUUGUUGAUGAGAAAGGCCAGGAGCUGAUAGAUAUGAUUAGGUCAAUUUGUUCUUCGAUAGUGGUAAUCUAUACCUAGACGUUGAACAACAUCGAUCAUGUUCAAACUUUCGAGCGCGCCUUCUACUCCUACUUUGCUCAAUACAUUCCUGAAUGCCUCCAACUUUUAUUCAUGUCAGAAACGGCAUGUCAUCCUGCAAGCAAAGUGGAGUUAUUUGAAGAGUGGACAUAGGUUUGGAUAUAAAUAGCUGAAUGAGAUCAGAGUGCCCAAGAAGUAGGAUCUUUUUUUGAGCAAUAUUUGGAGUGGAGAUAGCAAAGAUGGCCUGAGAAGAAAAUGCCAUAGAGGGAAGAGUACAAGGUAUGUACCUCGUUUAACAAGUGUUUAAAUUUGUUGGCAUUCUUCGGCACAUGUAUCUAACCAGGGCCGGAGCCAGAUAGAUGUAGGUGGCCCUGACCCUCUCGCACCAUUUGAGCAAGCAUACAUUAUUCCUUGAUUUGCACAAGUUGUUCAUCAUUCAAUGUUACUUUUAUAUUAUAUGUUUUGCCUAUCAGCCCCCCACACAUAAAAUUUUGGUUCCGUCAUUGUAUCUAACUGUUAAAUUAAAAAAUCUAUGUUAUACUUAAAUAUAUUUUAGAAUUUUCACUUUUUUACAUAACUUUGAAAGAAUUUUUAUUCCAUGCAUCAACCUACAUUGCUCUUAAUAUAUUGAGAGUAUGAGUUCCCACAUUGAGAAUAUAAGAGACCUUAUAUGUGUUUAUAAGGAAUUAGGCUACAUUUGAUACUUUCAAGGAAUUUUUUUUGAAAUGUCAUAUGAACUUGUUCAUAUUUUCAAUUUGUUAUAUAAACUAAAUUUUAAGCAAUUUGUUAUACCAGCUUUACAAAAUCAUUAAUUUGUCAUCUCACCCCAACUCCCGUUAAGUUUUCCAUCCAAUAUAAGUCAAGUGCCUCACACAAGACUUUUGUUCGGGGUUAUUUCGGUCAUUUUAACAUCUUUUCACAAGUAUUUUACUUUUCUUUAGUACAAGCACUUAAAUUUUUUACUUUUCUUUAGCACAUAUGCAUCUACAACCCCAUUUAUGGCACAAAACGUCAACAUGUUUCUCAUUUAUAGAGCCCGUAUGAAAUUAUUUCUUAGUGACAUGCUAAAAUGCAAACUCCCACUUGUGUAUCAUUACAUAUUUGGAAUAACCAGAAGAUAGUACAUUGCGUGAUCAUUCAUUGCUAUCAUAUAAAUUUAAACACUUGUGUAUCAUUACAUAUUUAGAAUAACCAGAAGAUGUCAUUUUUUUAUAAGGAAACAUCAACGGUAUGAGAUAAUUCUUUUUACCUGAUUAUGUCAUAUUCUCAAAGGGUGCGGAGAAAGAAAUUGUUUGAUUAUGUCAUGAAUUCCCCAAUUCGGAUACUUAAUAUCUUCGUGGUAUUUAUGUAAAGAAACAAAUAAUGUUUGCAUACAUGAAGAAUAGUAAGGGUUGGUUUGGUAUUGUUAUGCUUUGAAAAAAAAACUUUUUCUGCUGUAAUGUAAAAAUAAGCUCACUUUUGUUACUUUACGUUUUCAGCUUUUUUUUUCACUCAAAACUGUGAAAAUAAGGUGUUUAUAAGUGUUUACCAAACACAUUUUUGAGCUUAGCUUUUUUUUAUACCCACUUUUUAUAAAAACAUCUCAGUACCAAACCAGUACUAAGAGAGAUUGUUGAGAGAAAGAGGAAGCUUGAAGAGGAAGAAAAGGUUAUAUAUAUUUUCAGUAGUGAAUUACAAAGAGUACAUUUGGUUAUAUAUCUGUUGUUUUAGUAACUAAGUCAACUCAACAACCGUAUAACAAUCUUAACAGCCUUAUAAUAGAUUCCCUAAUCUACUGACACAUGGCACUUUAUACAUCCAUUGAUCCUAUAUUGUUAUCAUCCCUCAUCAAGCUCAGGAAAGGAAGCACCAAGCCUGAGAUUGCAGCAAUGUGUAUGAAAAAAUGGUGUACACGAUUCUUUUGUCAAGAUAUCAUCAAACUGUUCAUUUGAUGAGACAAAUUGCAUACAUAAAAGUUGUUUAGUAACCCUUUACCUGACAAAGUGAACAUCAAUCUCUAUAUGCUUUGUCCUUUGAUGCAUGACUGGAUUACAUGUAAGAGCGAUGCCAUACAAGUUAUCACAGAACAAUGUAGAAGGAAUAGGCACUGGAAUCUGCAGAAAAACAAGUAAUUGUCUAAUCCAAUCAAUAUCAGUUGUUGUGGAGGCAAUGUAACAACCUGUCCCAUAAUUUACGGAACGAAUGGGCAUUUUUAUAAUGUCACUAAGUUUGGGAUAUUUAUUUUAAAAAUUGUUUUGGGUCUUAAUGUGUGUGCCUGUGGGGCCCACUUGUUUUGGUUUUGUUCUCCGUAGCCUUAGUCCAUCUCUCUCCUUUUUUUCUCCCUCAUCCCAUGUGAACUCAUCUCCCUCACCUCUGCCGGUUUUCCUUUACCUCUCUCAUUCUCGGUGCUCAUCUUCGACAGGAUCACACAUUACAUACACACGACAACCCCGAGGACUUCACCAGCACCCCUAACAUCUAGACCUCCUCCUUUCUCUCUCUCUUUCCCUUCGAUACAUCUCGGCACUAUACAGUCACAGUGCUUGUGACUCCGGCGAGUUUUCAAAUAUUCCGACUAAGGUAAGCACCAUAGACCUCUAUAGAUUAUGUUUUCAAGUAGAUUAAAAUGUUUUGAGACAUUUUGGGGUGGUAUAAAUGUAGAGAUAACUCGGGGGAUUAUAUUUCCAGUUUUCCAGCAAGGUUCUGUGGCUUGCAGGCCAUUUCCCGGCCGAUCCUGAUGUCAACUUCAUUCCAUUUUGGUACAACUCGAAUCCUUAUUCUCUUACCUUUGAUUUGGCCUUUUAAUGGUAGUUUUUGGUUAAGGUUUAACCCCGGAUCGAAGCCAGGGAAGUUUUCUCAGCGAAAACUCAAGAAAACCAGCGUUCUUCUCCGGUGACUCAAGCGGCUUGCGAGGCCCUUGUGCCAUGGAAACCCCCGGCCCUUUAAGGGUAGCCCAAACCCAAACCCCUUGAGUUGAGGCGCUUGGGCCAUUCAGCUAGGGCCUUCGGCCCAUUAACCUAAAACCCAAAACCCUUUUGGCAACCUAGGCCUUGGGUUGUGUAAGAAUCCCAGGCCCAAACCUCUUAAAGCUCAACCCUUUAAAAGCCUAACCCAAACCUUGGAAAGAAUCGGCCCAACCCAACUGAUGGAAUAUUCCUUUAGGGAAUAUUCCCCUGUUGACUUUUCUGAAAUUUAACCGGGACCCUUUUUAGCGUAAUUCGACGUCCUGAAUUCGUUUUUGAUGUCCAUUUUCCUAAAUUCAAUCAUUUGAAUAGAGUUUUAUUGAUUGGACCCUUUAUGUGCUUAGGUACAAUUAUUAACGGCGAUUCUAUCCAGCUUACUUCAUGCAGCUCUUCGACAACGGAGUAUCUGUGAAUGGACCCCUUCUAAAAUGCAUGUUUUAAUAGUAGAAAUGCAUACAUGAAAAGCAUGAUUUAAUAAUUACGUUUUAUGAAACGUUUUAUGAGAUAUUAUGCUUACUACGAAUAUUUUGAAUUAUCAUAUUUUAUCGAACUCAUGUUCUUUGUAGUAUAGAUGAUAGAUGACUUUAUACUGCUUAUGAACAUGCUUUUGCACACUUCUUUAUAGUAUAGAUGAUGGAUGACUUUAUACUAUGAAGAUGUUUUUGAGAUAUAUAUACCUAUGUUUGGAAAGUUUAUGUACAAUGGUUUUGUGCUUAUCUAGUGGUCACUAUACCGCCACAGGCAAGGAUUAUGGUUGUUGGCUGCGGGUCGAGAGAAAUAAUCUCUGGCUUCAGGCCGAGAGACAUGGAGCUGGCAUUGGGCCAAGAGAAAUAAUAUCUGGCUAUGAGCAUAGAGACAUAAAAGUUGGCAUUGGGCUAAGAGAUAUUAUUAUUGGAUACCACUAUUUAUCACACUAUAUACGAGAUAUGUUUUAUAAAAGAUUUUAUGGCAUGCUAGGGUUUUCGGAAAACCUAUUACAUAUUAUACUAUUGAGUUUUCAUAAAACUUUGGGGGUUAAUACGUUGAAUAACUGUUUCAAUAUUAUAUAUAUAUAUAUAUCAACUUGGUCCACUCAUGUUGUAUUACGCCCCCUCAGAACUUAGAUUCGAGGUGUACAAUCCUAGCGUCAGGGCACUCCCGCAUCAGCAUCUUCGAGUCCUCUCAGUGUAUGACUCACCUCUUGGUUCAUUCAAUUUCAUAUUAUUCCUUGUUAGUGUUUAGGAUUAGUUGUAUGCUCUGAACACAUUCCUCAUUUGCAUAAUCAUUGUAUUUAAAUUCAUAACUUUUAUUUACAUUCGAUGUUCUCAUGCAUCCUAAUAUGGCCUCAUCACCUUCGGGUGUUGGCCAGUACGUGCCUACCCUGGUCUUCAAGGAAUAUUGGGGUCGGGCGUGUCAAGCAAUGACUUUAUAUUCAGUCUCAAUAAAGAAUUGAGAAAUUGUGUUCUGUUUAUUGGAAGACCAAGAGAUAGUAGGAUUAUACCCCAAGAAAACUACAAGUCCAGUUGUUGACGUUCUGUCAUUAGGGUAUCUAGCCCAAUCAACAUCACUAAAUCCAUGUAAAUCUAAGACACCUUUAACAAAUUGAAUACCAUUGUUCUGUGUACCCUACAAAUACCUAAGUAUCCUUUUUACAGCGAGAAAGUGAGACUCCAUUGGACAAUGCAUGAACUGACAGACUAGAUGCAUUGAGAAUGCAAUAUUUGUUCUAGUAAAGGUAAGGUACUGAAGUGCCCCUACAAUACUUCUGUAUAAUUCAAGAUUGUUCCCAUCAUCUUUGAGCAAUAUGUUAUAUGACACAUUUCUGUUUUUGUAAGUAAAUCAGACACGAUCUUAGCUUGAGAAAGAAACAACCCCUCUUAAUUCUAAGUAAUCUAAAUGCCAAGAAAGUGUCCCCAAGUCUUUAAUAUCAAAUUCCUUAGUCAAGGCAGCAAUGACCAGGUUGCUAAGACUGUUAUAAGUUGUUGAGUAACAGAAAUAUCUUCAAUUGUUUUUUGUAAUGACCACACAACGAUUUUGCAUUGUAGGUAAAAAGCUCAAUUCAAUAAAUCAAAUAUUGUAACCAAUCACGUGACAUGACAAACAAUUAAUAUAUAGUUUGACUAAUUUAUAAUCACAUGACAUCUAAAAUUAUGCAUUAGUUUUAGAGAAAUUCCUCCAUAAAACUACUAAAUGUUGGGGCCACAUAUUUCCCCCAAAUUCAUGUGGACAAGCUAUUCAUGAUCCAGCUGGUUGAUGAAGUUGAGAGUAUGAACUUUAUACCGAAAAACUAAAGUCUCACUUCUUGGAUAUUUUUAUUCAUUGUUAAUCAAUUUUUAGUUGGAUGGCCACAUAAUAGUUUAGUUUGUAACAACUUAGCAAAUCUCGGCCCUUCAACAACUAGGAUAUUUUUUUCUUUCAGAAAAUAAAACAACUGAAGAGCAUCAAAUUAAUCUCUUCAUUUUGCAUUCUCCCUUCCGGUAGCGAUUCACAUGCCUUGCACUUAUGUUCUAGUUGUUUAUUCCUUGCUCAGUAGGAUAUUAAUGUAUUAUAAACUAGCUAGGGUAAUUCUAUUUGUACCCAUUGCACGUAAGAAAUCGAAAUCAAACCAACUUCAUGCAUGAAGCAUCGAUUUCAUGUACUCGUCAAGAGAUGGAAGGCACUGGUUGUCGUCGUAGCUGUACAUCAAUGGCACCAUUCUUGCGAGAUUUAGGGAAGCCUUUGUGAAUGCCGCGGGAAGUGGAUUAGGAGACACCAAUUCUUUGUUCAGCUUCUUCCAUUCUUCUGAAAUCAUAUUUGUAACAUGUUCUUGUGCUUCCUCCAUGGUCUUGCCUUGAUGUUCAUUUAAAUACAACUUUACAUAUGACCCGUCGUCCCCAUCUUGAUUCUCAUCCUACAAUCAGUACGACGAUAAGAAAAUCUGACGUGCUCUAUGUGCGUAUAUAUACAUGCAUGCUACAAAUUUUGAUGGACAAAUAUAUAUAUAGCUUUUCUGUGAUGGAGUCGGCCAAGACAUCGACCACACAUGAUAUAGAACCUCAUAAGCAGGGAUGAAUAGGCAUUUAGUUAGUAGGGUGCUUGAUAUAAAUGAUACUAUAAAUAUGUAGUUACCUUGGCACUUCCCAAGUCGUCCCAAAGCCGAAGAAUUGCUGCCGUUGAAGAUAUAAUGGCUGGAGUGCCAUUCAAGAACUCCACACUUUGAUUGGUUAUACCUUCACCCAACAGAAAGAAAAUGUGGACCAUCACCACAUUCACCCCAGAAGAAAUAAUUCCAUUCUUCAAGUACUCUUCAGCCCUAGGCAAGUGCCCAGAUUUGAACCAUUUUGCUUCCACUAAAAAUGCAUUGCACAGACUAGCCCACUGCACGCAAACAAAUAGAAUGAAUUAAGCUAUAAUUAAGCCUUUCUUAAUAUGCUAGUAUAUAAUUGUCACGACAUUAAUCCAGUUAGAUAGAUAUACUUAAUAAUAAGGCAAUACUACAGUUUACAUAUAUAUAUAUACCGUCUUCUUUAGCGAAUGCAACGAGUUCCAUCCGUGCCUUUGAUAGAUCUUACAGCUGAUUUCAUUCGUCAUAUCGUAAAGAGCCUUGAAGCAUAUCUUCAUGUAGUCCGGUAAGUGCUCUAUAGAACCAAUUUCCCAUCUGUAGCAUAACAAUGUUCUUGUCAGUUCACUGUGAAAAGUAGUGAAAUUAAUUAAGAAGUUACGGGAUGUUUUAAUUAUUGCUACCUAUUGACAACCUCCGUGAAAAGAGUGAGUUCAUCAAGCGUCCCGUAAACGUCAAAAAUGUCAUCAAUCAAAUAGAUAAAUGAGAUAGGUUUUGUGAGCUCAAUCCUCUCAUCUGACAAGUUUGGAUUUGUUAGGCAAGCCAUGGACCAAAUGUACCAUUUAAUAGGUUGGUCUCUUGCAAACUUCAACUCCUUACACAAUCCCAGCUCUUUCCACCAUCUAAUUAAGUUAAUUGAAACAAAUAAACAUUGAUUAGCAACUGGUUAAUUUAUUAAAUAUAGAGACAACAAUUGAAGAUUAAGGUGCUAUUUUCCAAUAAAGUUACUUACUUGGAAACUUGAGCAACUUCUUUCUGGUGAAGGGACUGGACCAUAUUUAAAUCUGUUUUUGCUACAGUUUGUAAUAUAUUUAGCCAUCUAUUAUUUGUUCCUUGGAAGCUAGAGAGACAAAAAAGUUCUUGGCCAUGAAUGGGGCCAAGCUUUUGUGAUGAGGAUUUCUCAAUGUGUUUCCAACAACUCUGGCCUGGUGAUGAUCGAGAUGUGACAGUGAUGAAUUUAGGAAAUGGCCACUAAACUUUCCAGCUUCUUCAAGUACAACUUCACCCUCUAUACUUAGCUGUGAAGCUUCAUACAAACUCAUCAACCCCUUGAUGUCUUCCCUUAACAUUUGAUUGAAAUUUCCUUCUCUGUUCUUGAAGUUGUUAAACACAUCUAUAUUCACACGAUAAACACACUAGUUAUCAAAAUAUCGAAAUUGUAUUGAGUCAAUUUACUGGUACCGAAUACCAAUCUAUAUUACUGAAUUAUAGUUAACACUCACCAUCAGAGACGAAGUAACCAUGCUGCCUGAGUAGUCGAAAGCGGAGAGCGACUUCAUGUAGGUCGGUGGGAUGGUGAGCACCAUGAGCAGUAGUACUAGAUAUUAUAUGUUGCUUUUGGAGAAUUUGGUCAAUUUCUUCUUCAAAGUGGUAGUCUAGACCUAGCCGUUGAACCGCAUCGAUCAUGUCCAAACUUUCAACUGCUUCUCCUCCCACUUUUAUCAAUGCAUGCCUUAAGUCGUCCAGUUUUUGUUCAUUCUGGAAACAAAUUAUGCCAUCCUGCGGACAAGGAAUUGAAGAGAGUCGAUUUUCAACCAUGUAUGUACAUGUGUGUGUGUGUGAGAGAGAGAGAGAGAGAGAGAGAGAGAGAGAGAGAGAGAGAGAGAGAGAGAGAGAGAGAUGAUUUUUCUUACCUUAGAUGAAGUAUACUUCGUUUUGGAGUUAAGCGGUUUUAAGGGAGUAGAAAGCAAACUGUUAUCUUCGGGGAUGCUCCAUUUUUGAGAACUAAGGUAUUCCGGAGCAGCUGGAGUAGAAGACGAGGUCGCAAAGGAGGACUGGGAAAUAGAAAAUUCCAUAUUUCUGUAUGUGUAAUCAACUCCCAGAGUAGUAGAAGGCGAAUAGAGAAAAUAAGAUGUUUUUCGCUCUUCUUGAUCUCUCAAUUUAUAAUCGCCAUGAAAAUCGAUUUUCGCUAUACUUCGAGAGCUAGCACACUAAUUUGCACGUUGAUUUAGAGUUUUUUUAUUCGCGCUUUUGUUUUUUUUUUGUUUUUUUUUUUUUGUUGAAAAAUCAAACGUACUAGUAAGGGUCCAAGAAAGAAUAAAAAGUGUACCAAACGUGAAAGUUGUGCUAUUCGGCAACUGGAAAGCGGAUUCCUAUUAUUAUGAAACAACUUUUGAUUCCUUAAUACCUAGGUACUUGUCACUAGUGAAUAUUUUAUGUACUCAUUGUAUUUAUUUGGCUUAAUAAAAAAAUAUCGCGUGGGUUUUGUUUUUCAAAAUAAAAUAAAAAUAAUAAUGAACAUGUCAUUAUUUUUUAAUCACUAAAACAGUAUACCCAAGUAUUAUCCAAGCAUGUCUCAAACCCUAUAAGGGCAUCAAUAUUGAUGGAAGCCUUCAAACACAUUUUCCCAUUAUUAGUGACCACAAAUAAAUAAAUGAAUAAUGCUCAGAUCUAGAACCUUUUGGUUCGGCAAACUUGUGCGGAUAUCAACUCUAUCUAUCUUUUCUCUAUGUUUUCAGGUAAAAAAUUUCGAACAAACCAGAAAGCCUUAAUGUCCUUGUGCAACAUUGCGUAGUUUAUUAUAGGGGUAUGAUAUUCACACACCCCAUUUUACUUCUCACAUAUCUUUUUAAUUUUCGGUCGUCGAAUCGGAUGAAUUGAAGAAGAUCAAUAGACAGAAAUUAUCAAGAGGUGUGUGAGAAGUAAAAUAAGGUGUGUGGAUAGCACAUUCCUUAUUAUAUAAUAUAUACUAUUUAGGGAACUCUUUUGGUUGAAUAUAAUUUAGUGAGUUCGACGGAAGCAAGUCAACAACACCUAAUUAUGACCAAACUAUUGUUUAUGACAUUUUUUUGUCACGUGUCAAUUGUCCUCUUGUAAAAAGAGUCUUGAAAGCAUUUUAUAUUUUGCCAAACAAAAAGAUUCAACAAAUAUUAGAUGGCAAGUGAAGUAAUUUUUGUAUACCAUUUUUCUCAUACAUUCUUUAUUUCAGUUUCUUAAAAUAUACAGUGUCUCGUGUUUCAUAUGAGUUCACAUUUGUGUGUGAGACAUUACAUUUUUUUUUCUUUCAUACUUUGUUUUAGUUUUUUAAAACAUACAGUGUCUUGUGUUUCAUAUGAGUUUACAUUUGUGUGUGAGACAUUACAUAUUUUUUAGACGACAUGUUACAUGUGCGAUAUAAUUGAUGUGUCGUGAAUUCAAGGAUAAUUUUUAAUAGAAAUAUUAGGAAAAUCCAAUUUUAGUUUACCACAUUGUCCCACGUCUCUUCAAUAAAAGUGUGAUCUCGUGGUGUACCCUAGCAUAAAUAUUUUCUUUUGGAACAAACGAUAUUGACUACAUUAAGGGGGAGAGGGGGGAGGUGGGCUUAGCCUCACAAUGGACUAGCAAUAAUGUGGUUCAAAUUCUCUUUUGGUGAGAAUCGAACCUAAAAUCUCUCAUUUACAAGUGAAGAGAAAAAUCACUAAAUUGCAGUAUUAAUUGGUUUCCUAGCAUAAAUUGUUAAGCAUUAAUGUAAUGCACAUAAAUAUGGUAUCUCUAGCAUCACUCGAUCUCAUUUUUUAUCCACCAGUCGUAAUAGUAAAUGACAUGAUAUAACUUGUAUAACCCAUAUCCAAUUGUGACCGUGGAUAAUACAAGUUUGGUUGAUAAUACUGAAAUCAAGGUUUUUUUUCCCCAAUGAUUAGGUUAAUAAUGUUGAACAAUGUAAAAAGUCUCAUUUCGAAAACUUGAUAAUUAAAUACAACUUGCAUUGAGGUCUUCAUUGAUAAAAAUUUAGACUUACUAGAUUGCAUAAUAGUUAAGUGAAGAUGUGAAAUCCUGUCCCCAUAUUUCACUAUUUAAAAUUACGUAUUUUGUAUUCUUAGUUUUGACGCGUUUAUAAUUAUGGCAUGUAGUUUUUUUUUUUCAAUAAGUAAAAGGACAAAAAUGCCCUUAAUGAACUAAACGUACCAAUCAAGAUGAGAAUAAAUGAGGGAAAUGAGGGAAAAAAGAAGGAGGGAACCCAGACCCCCUUUCGACCCGCGACCCAACUAUUGACUGCCAACAUGCAAUCCGAUGCCUUCUCCGGCCAUUUUCUGGUGAAUUGCGAUGAGGCAACACUUGAGAACCCAUCCAUGAUCUCUUCUUUUCCAUUUUCACUUGAAAUUGAAGGAAUUUGGCUUCGGUUUCUUCUAAAACAUGCCGACAGGCUCCGUGGGGUGCAUAACAACAAUCUGCCUUUCCUGCAUGAAUCACUGUCAAACACCACCAUCAAUCAACUCCUCUUGGGCCCAGGAACAAACCCCAAAAAAGUUUGGCGGCGGUGGAGCACUGGAGAAGACAAAUCGAAGUGCACCCAUUUCAGGGGUUUCAGGCGGAUAGAGGCGAUUUCAAGCAUCUUCCCGGCCUAAUUGGACUUCAGCCCAGGUAUGAAAAAUGUUUCCCUCAUUGAGCUCUACAUGUUUGUAAAAUUUGGUAAUUUUUGAAGUUAGGUGAAUUUUCCUGCGAGUCAGGGCGGUGGCAUGUGACCUAAGGACCCAUUUGACCCUUUUAAGCUAAAUUUGAUACACCGAUUCCAUAUGUGACAUCUGAUGGACGAAAUUCCAUCGUUCGAACAUAGUUUCGUUAGGGUCCGCCUCUUGAUCAUUAUAACCAUCGAUGAUCCAACCGUUGGAUUGUCACCAAACCUUAAUAUAUUAUAACACGUAAUAUUUAAGGACAUUAGAAACUGACAGAUCAGGAAUCCGACAUACGGAUCUUGAUGAAUUGAAUUUUUAAGUUUGUAAAACUUGUUUGUACCAUACUUAGGGCCUCCGUAUUUAGACCUCGUAUAAAUACUCGGGGGACUCAAAUAUAAUUAUGUAAUAAAUGGAGGGGCAAAUAUGUAAUAAGUGAAGAGCCCUUAUUCUAUAAAAG
RNAcentral lists this long non-coding RNA (88717 nucleotides) under Malus domestica (apple). RNAcentral's name for it is "long non-coding RNA (MDOM_LNC009740)". Lineage: Eukaryota; Viridiplantae; Streptophyta; Magnoliopsida; Rosales; Rosaceae. The record is from RNAcentral.